GCCGAUAGUGACAUGAAAACGGAAAGCAAGAUAAGUUGCUAUCCUUCCAUUAUGUGACAAAGAUCUUUGGAUGAUAAUGACAAGAAAAUGACAUCGUAAUCCAAUAUCAAUCACCUAGAUAUUGGUGGAUCGAUUUACACAGACACAGUGCCCGCGCAAGCAACAAUAUCAGGCCACGAGUUUGCAAGCAUGCAUCUUGGACUACUAUUUUUUGAAAAACAUCAAAAUUACAUGCAGAAGAGGAAAUCCUACAUCUCAACAAAAUCAAACAAGGAAACAUGAGGGGUCUCAUAUUAUUUGCUGAGUUAUCCAAGUUUACUUCACUCAGAAAUCAUGCGGGACAAAAGUGGUGUAUUUGUUGCUGCCUUUUAUGCCUGGUGGCUCAUGCCUCUGGCUCUGGCUUCUCGAAGAAAGUUUUCUUAAUCCAGUCAAAUGGCUGCAAAAGAGAUCCAAGAAAGUUUCAGAAUCUCAGUGAAAGAUGCACUGUAGUUCACAGCAAAACAGGCACAAGAACAGACAUCAAUAAAGGAAACUAAGACCUAUAACCAAACACAAUAUAUCAAAAUACUGCACAUCCUCUUAUUAACGAAUCAAGUGAGAGGAAGAGUUAGAUCACCAAAAGGAGGAAACGCUUGUCUUUAAGUAACAUAACAGAGUCAUCUUCUAAUUAGCGAGUCAAAUAGAGUGACCUCAAACAGUUACAUAACAGAUCACAUGUGCUCUGCAAAUUCCUAGUUGCAAGGCUCAUUAUAAAGGCGAGGUCUUCCAGCCAGUAGGGUGAGAGGAAUGGAGUUAAAACACCAAAUGGAGCAAUGCACUAGCUUGAGGCAUAAGCUAAAGGAAACACCACAACAAUUCGGUUCCAUUGCUAUCGUCAUUACAACCUCAAAUGAUCUAUGAACCAUAAGACAAAACUAUCAGGAGUACAGAUGAUCUGUUGGUGAGACUGAGACCUACCAGUACACUUUUAGGCAAUCGUGGACAGAUUUAGCAUCUGAGCAGACACCAAUACCAAAACUAUCAGAACAUAGGAACAGGGAAUCAUGUACAAUGAUCAGAGGUAAACCAUGAACUCUUCAUCGAAUGCCCAAACAGACAACUCAAAAAAGAAUAACAAUGCUCCUACAAUUAAUUGAGUCGACCAAAAUUUUGUAUUCCUAUGAACAAUACAGUGUAGGUGUUCAUAACACCUCGAUGCUUACUUACAGAAGCUCCGCACACAAGGAGCGUAGGCACAAGAUGUAACUUGGCUAUAGAAAGAACCAAAAAGAGUGGUGCGAAUCAAGGGUGAAAAAUGAUAGAAUCAGAUGAAAGCAAAACGGUGCCACCAGAUGACCGCAUAGGUUAACUAAACAUUAAUUUACAAUAUCCAUAUGUGUUUCAAAUUUCAAGUGGCACGAACCAUUAGUCAGAAUUAUGUUAGAGUUUGUACCAAGUACCAAGCGGUAACUAGAAAUUUGUGUUUUUCACUAAACUAGCACCUAUUAUAUCCUGGUCAAAUAUUAUGAUGGCCUGAUAAUGAUGUGGCGCCAACUUAAUGUGUGUCUACUUCAACAUUUGCCGGAGCUUAUUUAUUGCAACAUUUUCUGAUUCCUAAGACACAUUUGACAUAGCAAUUCCAUAGAUGAACUCAUAGCCUAGGUCAUCACAAACUCGUUGGUUGCUCAUCUAACUAGAUCCAGAGAGCAAGCCUGACAACGCGAUAAGCACUAUCGAGAGCAAGUCCCCUUUCCCUCACAACCACAAUAGACCGAUCGACCAAUCGUUGAUCAGACCUCAGGCCGCUGAUCUAACCUCCGCAGAUCCAGACCGAUAAUAAGGAGCACACAAACAUCACAGAUCCGAUCCAAAGCAACCAAACCCUAACGCCGCGCAGCAAACAAAUCGACGUACUAAGCAACAGAUGCGAGCCUAAUACCAAGCUACGGUCAAAAUGCUGAAAGUGGGGGCGGAUCCGUGAUACGAGCGGGCCGAUCGAUCCUGACCUGGACGAGGUAGAGGCCGGCGGUGCCCGCGAAGACUCCCCAUGAGGCGGCAGCGACGACGUCGGUGGACUGGGGGCGGCUGCGGGGCGAGAGGAAGCGGAGGAGGCCGGAGCUCGACGCCGGGAGAGCCAUCGCCGCCGCUAAUCUCGCUUCACCCUUGGCGUGUCGUCGGCGGCAGGUGAGAGGUGAGGGACGAGGAAGAGAGGAGUUCAGUUUUGCCGUUGCGGGUGGGCCUAAAUGGACCUCCAGAGAUGCAGGUGGGCCGAAGCGGGGAGAGUCAGUCAAGCCCAGCUGAUCUUUAUCUCCAAAAGGGCCUGUUUUGAUAAUUUUUGUUGUGGGGAAAAGGUGAUCAGUGAUCGACCAGUUCAGGUCAUACAUGUAGUUUUCUUAGACGGCUGGGUUGUUUCAGGAAUUAUCUGUAUUUCGUUUUCAAAUCAAAUAGACCCCCCUGAGAGCAGUGUGACGUCGACAUGACAACUUGGGAGCGUGAACGCGACUGAAGGAAAGAUACGUACGUGGAAGUUGGCCCACUUGGUAUCUCCACAGUUGAGAGAGAACUCAGUUGUGCACGUCCAAAAAGAUGAAAAGAACAAGGCAGCGUCCACACCUAUAGCUCGGAAUUAUUGCCAUGCAUGCCGCCGCCGGUUAGCUUUUCCAGUGUUCUCUGAUGGAGUUGCACUGGUGUAUCAAAUCUACCAACACUCAGACUGGAGGGAGAUUUUACUUGCGUGGCAGGUGCUUUUCAUCCGCACGUAAAAACUAUCGACCUAAAAAGCACCUGUCGUUUGUGGAAAAACUAGCACAGCACAUCAGUAUCAGAGCCCGAACUUGUGGAUUCACUCAAAGGACGUUAACAAAGACACAGCAGCAGAUUAGCAUUGCUCGAUUGUAAAGUCGUCCAUGGCAAUUAUUGCAGCACAAGCCUUCAACUUAAUUAAGAAACUGACACACUUGGGAGAGUGUGGUAAGUUUAGAAUUAAGAAACUGACACACUCAAAAGGGUACAAAGUAAAAGGUAGAGUGAACACUAGAGGUACUUAGCAGUGCACUAUGUGUAGAAGGUUCAGAGUUCGGAAACUUUUAACCGAAAAAUAGAGCUUAUCUCUUUAGAGUCCUCAGUGGAAAGCUCCGGGAGAUGUCUUCACCUCCUUUUAAUAAGCAGAAUACGCCAAGCGAAAAAGCACUGUAUACUUUUACAGUAACAGUUGUAAAGUUCUCACAUGGCAAGAAAUAUAUUGGAUGCAAAAUGACUUGGGGAGAACUUAGCUUCAGAUGACCACGGACUUCGCCAUGAAGUUUUCUUUGGUUUUCUUUGAUGCUUGUCACCUAGAGAAUGAACUUGUUUUUUAAUCGUUCGAGACCUGCAUGCAUAGAUUACUGAGAUGGAUCCAGCAGAGAACUGAUCUGUCGUAGGGUCCAUCAAUGCACGUGCUGCCUUCACCCGUUGUUGAAUUGAUCAACAAAUCCAAGUUAAAUCAGUGUGACAGCAAUCCAGGUCGACCUCAAAGCCUAGCUAUUAUUGUAGACAGAGUAAUUAACCACUGACCUGCAGAGCUUCUUUUCUGCAGUUGUUGGACUGCAAUUUCCUAAGCGGUCGACUAAUCGUGCAAACUAACCAAGGUCUAAUUCAAGUCACCACCAAUGACAACAACUCAAUUGUAUUCUUACUAACCAAGGUCCAGAAAGAAAUUAAUUUAUACCUUGUGCAUGAACUGUAUUAUUUGAGCUUUGCUUCCAUGCGGCAAUAUGUAUGCUGCUUUCUUUUCAGUGCGUAAAGUGAUUUCAGUUGGGUUCCUUACUCCCUUGGUUGCUCAUCGGAACAAGAAAGAAAAAGAAAAAGAAAAACUAGGCUUUCUUUUCAUGAGAUUUUUUUUUUUGGGGCUCAAAGCAUGCAUAUGCAUGUGUCGAGUGGUUGAGAGCUAGCCAUUUUAAUUUCCAUAUUGUCCGACCCCCCCUAAAAACAAUCGCAAGCACUAUAUAAUAAGGUAAUGUGCUAGUCAAAGUCUUUGGAGUGCAGGACUUGGAAGUGGACGAGAGUGAGCAAUACUGAAGUUGGCCAAGAUUAAGGUUUUUCUAACUUCUCUGGUCACGAGGGGCCUACGUGGAUCUCCAUCGGUCCAACCAAGCAUCGAUGCAGAAAGCUUAGUGGUGGUUACCCGACUAGUGACUAGGCAUGACCUACAACUAGCUUAAAAGGCGAGCGUCCACAAACCGGACUGACACUGACAAACCGUGUACCGAUCCUGCAUGCUUAAUUGAUCAGUUCAUGACAUGCAGCUCCCAACUAAUUAAAGCACACAUUCUGAAUCUUGCCGAGAUUUUGCCGUUGGCACAAUUCUGCAUAUUCCGAUCCGUUUAAUUAAUCAGGAUUAGAUUCACGCAUCUGAUGCUGAUAGCAAUCUCAAUCUUUUGUAGCGGCCCUGAACAAGUUUGCACUUUAUAUCAUGUCAUGCUGAAAAAACAUGCAUGAAGCUGAUUCUGAUUUUCUGUUAUUUUUUCAUAAGAUAACAAAUGCAUGAUGUUUACAGCUGGUAUGUGUUUUGAUCACAACCAAAUUUGGCUGCAAGGUCCCGGACGGUUUAACAAUCGCACACAUAUUGAGCCUUUUGCCACUUGUAUUAUUGUGUAGUUCAAUUCCAAAUGAUAGAACUACUGUUUUCACUCUGAGCAGAAGAAAUCACCUCAAAUGAUUACAAGUAGUGAGCCUAAGCCUGCUUUGGAUUUUUGGAAUAGUCACUACAUUUUCAGGAUCAUACAAUCACAUGCACAUAAUGUACAGAUGCACAAAAUGAGGCAUUAUAUUACAACACAAUACAUCUAUAUAUUUCAGCAAAUAUACAUAUGUAGAAAUCAAACCCUGUUCAGAUGAACUACUACUGGAUCGGAGGUAGCUAGCCUUUAUUGUAUUAACCAUUACACAUCUAUGCAUGUGGAUAUCAAUCUACUCAUUGCUACCACUACUAGUUGUGCAACUAGUGCAUGCAUGCAAAUUGCAAACUUGUCGUCAUUAGCCAUGCAUAUAUGGACGCAUGCAUGCAUCAGCCAUUGUCAGGGAUCGAAGCCAAACAUGUCGUCCUCCCCGGCGUUCCCAAAGGAUCCAAACGAGCCGGUCAUGAACCCGAGGCUGCUAGGGGACGACGGGAAGCUGCCUGCGCCAUGGCCACAAGCCAUGUCGCCGCCGCCGGUCCCUCCCGGCCAGCACUCCGCCGGUGCUGACCCCACCACGGUGGCCGACGAGGCCAUCCCAGCUGAUCCCACCACGGCGGCCAGCUCCCCGGCCGGCGCUGAGCUGCUGCUGUGCACCUCCUCGCUGCCGCAGCGGUAGUAGUCCUGCGCCGGCAGAGAGGAGCUGUGCCCGACCAAGCGAGAGACGAACAUCGCCGGAUCAAAGGCUUGGGGUCGUUGGGGAGGAACGGCGUGCGUGGUCGUGGAUGCGCCCAUGGUGGACCCGAAGCUGAUGAGAUUUGCGCAGUCGUCGGGCGGAGCGGCGGCCUCGAUGACGAGCGGGAUCGUGGAGGGGUCCCGGCAGGUGUGCUGGCCGAAGUAGUUGAUGACGAACUCGGACGGGUUGUCAUCGGAGGCCUGGACCUGCCUGGUCGCCUUGCACCCUUGGUCUGGCUUGUGAGUGCACCUAUAGUAGCUCCUGCAUAUACAUAAGAUGCUAAGCUAGGACUGUAGUAGCUGAUGAUGAUGAGGUUUGUUUUGCUUUUUAAGCUAUAUUAAUCUUGCUACGCAUAGAAGCAACAUAUAUAUGCAUGUUUUUAUCAGUGAAUUGCUGUACAUGCAUGGGGCUAAAAGUAGUACAAAUAGUGCUUUCUAAUUCACUGGAUAGCCAGUUGCAAGUAUUUGAUGUGCCUUUAGUUUUUCUAUAGUAAGCUAGGGAAAAGGAAAAGGAGACAUUUCUUCCCCUAGCUAGGCUUCAAUUAUUCGACCAACUAUCUUUUUUCUAGACAAUGAAGGUAGUCUCGAUCCGCCUCUAUCUCCAGCCUUUGCAUCAACUAGAAAAUCAUGCAUGGUAUAUAAGUUUCUUCGAUCGGUGCGUAGAUCAGAAGCCAAUAAACAACACAUGCAUGUAUAUAUAUACCUUGGGUUAUUAGGCGAGUCUUGAAUAUGUUUUUGGCCGUACUUUCUCCAUGAGUUGCCAUCAUCGAGCGUACUUGUAGUGACUGUCCUCAAGAAGGGGCUGUGCGACCUGCCAUAUACAUAUAUAUAUAUACUAUGAGCUAAUAAGCUGGUUAAUGACCCAUAUAUAAUACGCCAGGUUUUAAUUGGAAUACUACUUUAAUAAUCUAUGGAAGAAGCAUACAAGUGCGGCUAUGAAUAACUAUCGUAAGCUAGAAGCACCAAAACAAGGAUUAACCUUUUUUUUUAUUUACCACAAUUGAAAUCAAGUUGUUAGAAAGAAAGCAAGUUUAGGUUUCUCCCUAUCAUUGGCACAUAAAGUUAAGCCCCACUACUAAACUUAGACAGUCUAGGGAAUUCUCCAAAUUGCAAAAGGAAGCGGCAUAUUAAGGCAAUCAUGGUAUCAUAUCCUAAUGCAUGUAGCUAGCUAGUUGCACGGUUAAUUAUUAAGGGUUUUUGAUGAACUUUCUUCACCUUCUCCUGGUGGUGCUGCUCCGGCGCUGCGGUCCAGAGCCGGUCACCGCGCCAGCUCUCCUCCUCCUCCGGCCCUGUCCAUGGCUGCCGCCGGCGGUGGUGUCCAGAGCUGCCGACAGCGCGCUCGACAGGCUGCUCAUGAUCCCGUCUAUCAGCUCGCUGGUCCCAGGUGCGGCGUCCGCGGGCGUUCCCGGCGGCGUGGGCGACCCCUGCAGCAUGUUCCGGAGCAUCUCCGCUCGCUCACGCAGGUCGAUCAGGUUGUCCACCACCGCCCGAGGAGCCUCGGCAGCAGGUGGUGACGAGCGGCCGCCGCCGUCGGCGGCGCCGCCGCUAGCUGAAGACGCCAUGGUCGCAGCAAUCCACUAGCUAAUUAAGCUAGCUGAGCUAGAGCUGCGGUGCAAGUGCAUGCAUGCCCACCUGCCCGGCCGUAGCUAGAGCGAUAGGGUCGUCGCUGCAGCUGCUGCGGCUUGUUUUUAUUGGCGGCCGCGGUGGGAAGUUGGGAGGAAAAAGAAAGGAGGACGGGGCCGGGUGGGGGAAGGCGAAAGAGGAAGUGGCGUGGAAGAACAUGCAGGCACAAGUGGGCCCCCGGAUGGAGGUGCCGCACUGCGCGCAAGGCGACGAAGCUAGGGGCGGGAGCCGGUCGUCAUCGCUGUGACGCGCCACCGUGAGAUCAGGCGCCACCGUGGGCUCAGUGAUGCAUACCAUGGCAGAGUUGAACAGAUACUUUUCAUGAGAUUAAUCGUAACGAGGGCUAUAGUUAACGAGAAAUGGACAAACACACUAUCACAAGGCAUACAUUUACACCUAUAAACUAAAUUGAUAUUGACGAAAUCACUGCAAAUAUCCCAUUGUCGAUAAAAAUGAUGAGGACAUUAUUUAACGAUCCUCGUGAAGAAUAUAGCUAGUCACCUUCACUAACCAUUCGAGUGAGGCUCCAUGCAUUCGUUUUCUUUUUCUUCUUGAACACCGAUGGUGCGUUGUUGUCUGUCAAUCGUAGAAGCAGCACGUGUUGAGACUACGAAUUUUCAUUCAUUUGCCACGCAGUGAAUUGUGGAGAAAAGGGGCAAAUGUAAGUAGAUCAACACGUACUUGUCUUAAACAUAACAUUUUCUACAUCUUGUUGUACAAAUUGCGCGCCAUGCAACAAAUGGUCCAUGGGAGAGCAUCUUCCAAGCAGACAACUUCAACUCACGGGCAAUUUUCUUAUGAAAACGUGGGCAUCUGGGCUGACUAGUCUUUGCCCUGACACAUGCAUGACGGGAACACGGAGGCCCCCCUUAAGAAAUGAUGAGCCCCACAAGUUUUAAAUCUUUUCGUACGUGGGUAGGCCAUGUCUCUCUCUUCAGUACAUUUCAAGGACGAGACCAGAAAAUUGAGAAGAAAAAAAUGGACAGCUAAAGAGCCAAGUCAGAAGAUAAUAAUAAUUAAUAUUGCCUAAUUAUCAUGUCGGCUUGCAUAGCUGAAUGAACUUGUUUACCCCAAAUUAUAUAAUCCAGUUUAUAUGUGUGGAAGUAAAAACCUAAAAUGGUCCAGGACAGCUUAAAGCACUAUAGAAGCUAGAGGAGCUUAACUUAUAUAAGCUGCUUAUAAGUUUCGGAUGAGCUUAUCUAAACUAGAUUAGAGAGUUAAAAAAUAAACCGGAUUAUAUAAAGCUAGGGGUAAAGAACAGGCCCAUACUCAACGCAAGUCGACAUAGGAAACCAGUAGUGAGCGUAACCCAACCCAGAUGCACAAACUCCCAGCCAACGCCCAAAUUAUUACUAAUACGAAAUACGGCAUCAGCAUGCGCAUUCGUAAAGCUCGGCUGCAUCUGGCUCACUGAACAACCAGGACGAGAUUCCCAAAAAAUAAAGCGAAGAAAUGGCAUAUUGGCACAUCUACGGAGGAUGACAACUGACAGUCGUAUUCCAGAAAAAAAAAUACUGGCUCGGACACCACCAUCUAAAAUUGACCUUUCAAUUAGUAGCCUAAAUGCGGCUGCGUUCAUGAAUCACGAUACACCUGGCAUAAGUCGAUGACAUGUCCCUGGUCGAACUGCUAUAUCUGAACUAUACAUGCUUCUGAAUCCUCGAUACGAAAAGUUAAGACAUCUGUUAGCUUAUUGUUGAUUGUCCGGUUGCUCCAUCAGUCGCCUUCUUUCAGCAGCUAACCCAGCUGCGACGGAUGGAGGCAAACUCCUCAAGCUAUCAUCAUGAUCUUCAUUUGCCAGUUCUGGGGGUUCAUCAGGUGCUGUCAUUGGGAAUAGUGACUCGACAUCCUUCAGGGUCAAAACAGGUUCAUCUUUGAAAUUUUUGGACUUUCGGUUUAUAGUAGAGCAGACAGCUCUGCUCCUGUUUAAUCUGUAGAUGCUCUCUUCUAUUGUUUUCUUCACCUAAAAGCAAAAUAAGACAUUAUAAACUGUCUCCACUAAUUAAUGUAAAUUUAAAAAAUAGGAUGUGCACUCACUAUAAAACGGUGAACAAAUGUGCUCUUGUCUUGCCCAACUCUAUGGAUCCUGCUGAUAGCCUGUGCCUCAGCCGCAGGGUUUAGUAAUGGCUCCACUAGAAUAACAUGCUGUGCUUCCAGCAGAUUAAGACCAUUUGCUCCGUGCUGUAUAAGCAUCAGCAGUACUUGAACAGGCUGCAUUUUGGAGACUGUCUUUUUCACUUUAUCUACAUUUAUAUUGCUCAACUGACCUUUGAACUGGGAGAGCGCUGACUGUGAUUUUCUGAAAAGGAAACGAACUAGCAUGUAAGUACUUCCUCAUUAAUAACCAUCUAGCAGAAAGAUAUAAAAAAGAAAAGGAACAGUAAAAGGCCAAUCAAGACCUUGAUUCAAUAUGGGUUGAGAUAUCUCACCUUCCUCCUUUCAUCCGAACAUAUGAAAUGUUGUUAGCCGCAAGGGAGUGCUCUAAUACAUCGAGCACAUCAUUCCAACUUGAGAAAACAAGAACUUUAGCUGUUCCAUCAGUUGAAGUGAUUCUCAAUAUUCUUCUUGUGACGGCUUCAAUCUUCACCAGAAAAAGAUAAAACAGAAGGUGGGAUUAUUACACCAAAAUUCAACAUACAAUAAGCAAACAAACAAGAAGUGUUGGAGCUUGCUAAAGUAUGGCCUAUAUUUUUUACUCUGCAAACAGUUAACAGCAAGUGCAUUAUAGAAGUGUAGUUGAAUAACAUUUCAGGAUUCUUGAAAAUAUAGUCAUUCCAUUUUGCGAGAUUACAUGAUUAAUCAUGUAUUCAUGUGAUUGGCCACAUUGACACAAAGGCCCUACUUUCCAAUGAUAAUUUUGCAAGUUACAAAUCAAAUAACCAGUAACCGUAGAUUUCAAGUGCAGAACACAUAGAACAACCACAAGGAAGGAGAUGGCAUGAAACCUUUGUUCCAUAUGAACCUUGGACAGAAAUAGUGCUUUCAGUCAAAUCUUCUGCGCUCUUUUCAGCUUUGUCACUUUGUUUCUCAACUACAAAAGCCACAUUCUCAAGAUCUGUACGUUGACGGCAUGUAGGGCACAUGAUCCAUUUUUUACGUUUCCCAAAUUGUGUUGCAGCUUGUUCUGUCAUGUAAAGACAGCCUGAGAACAGUAAGCAGAUAAAUAGUCAAGGCCAGGAAUUCACUAAUCAAUAUCCAUCAUAUGAACAAACAAUUGGCAUGAUUAUCCAACUAUAUACCCUGAUGCUAGAUUAGCAUAAUACUUAGCUUUAAGAUUGCUCAAGUAAAUUCCAGCAAACAACAACCAGGCAGGCAUGUAACAGUAGUAUUUAUGCUAUCUACUGCUUUUCUUCAAAUGACGGCUUUGAAGAAAUUUUGAAAAUAAAACUAGCAUGGAUACUCACACUUGCAGCACACGAAAUGACCACACUGGAAAACCAUUUUUUGGUCAAAAACCUUCUCCUGGCAAAUUGGGCAUGGUUCAUUACUAAUAUCAGAAAUGGUUUGUCCUGUAACAGAACAUGAAGUAGCUAUAUCAACAGCAUCGCCUGCUUUAGGCAAUGAUUCGCCAUGCUUGUUAAAUGUUUUCUUGUUACAUAGCGCCAAUCCCUAAAGGCACAAAUGCAAUCAGUAGCAAUAAAAACACACACUAAUCCAAGAUAGUAUCAUAGUGCAAUCUUUGGAAAUAAAAGUCAUGCAAGCUGUAGACUAGAAUGUGAACUUAUAUAGCAAAAGUUUACUGAAAGUUAAUACACACCUUUAAAUACCGGAGUUGGCCCCUUACACGGGCUAAAGAUGAGAGAGACAUGAAUUUUUCACUUGUAAACUGGACAUUAUAUGGUAUGAGUUCCUCUCUAGUUACAAUAUCGACAGCGCUAGGUUCAUCAUCUUUCUCUUUGAGCUGCAGUCUUGAGAUAGACAUCUUGAUCUCAUCAUGAGCACGCAAUAAUUGAUUUUGAGCAAUUGACAAAAACCGUGCUUGAGAAAACUCCUUGCGCAUAGCCUCAAUCACCAUGUCAUGGCCAAAUUUGUUAGUUAGCAUUACAAUAACCAGCUUGAGCAUGCCAAAAGAGAAGGAAACAAAAUCUACCUCAAAAAGAAGUAAAUGCUUUUUAGCAAUUGCAGAAUACUGCCUUCCCAAUACUGUCUUUGAGUGAUUUUGGAUAACCCUCAAUGUGGUCUCAGUUCGAGAAGGAUGCCUGUAGACCUGUAAACAUUGGCAGUACAAAACAUAUAAUAUUGGAUAGCAAAUAAAUGGUCAAAGAUUAUGAAGUUUGAAUCUCAAAAUGUGUGCAUGCCUUAGAGAAGAAGACACAGGGGAGAAGACAAAUGGUGCAACAUUAUUUUCAAGAGUUGGGGUUGCAAUGUUAUCCUAGAAAAAAGUGUGGACAAGAGAAGUGACAACUAUUUAACUGUACGAUAUGCAGAAUAAAAGUAUGUAACAUACCUGUAUGUUUUCUCGAGCCGACCUAGGAUUAUUAUUGUCAUAACCAGGUUCAGAUCCCUCAUUGGAUUUUUUAUUACGGAAGAAGUGAUUGAGCUCAUAUUUUCGCCUCUGUAGAUCAUGUGCUUCUUCUACUGUAUCAAUGACAGAAUCAUUGUUCGAUUUCUUAACAAGAAACAGCCGUGCUUCAUACCUCUAAAAGAAACGAUAAGAUUAAAUUGAUACAUGAUUAAUCUCAUAGGGACAUAAAUACAUCAAAAAGCAUUGGUGUGUGACUACCUGAAAGAGUUCAUCUAGCUCACAUUGGAUACAUAAAGAACCAGAACCAUCAUAACACUUUGGACAAUAUCGCUGACCCUCAAUGUCCUCAUCCCUUGGGUUAUCCAUUGUGUUGUCAACUUCCAAAAGUCUAUCCAUCAGUCGUUGCCUUGAACUUUGUAGAGAAUCAAUAUCAGCUUGAAUUGCAUAUUUUAAGCCAGCAAUACUUUUAACCCUGUGAAAGAACAAAACAACCAAGUUAACUAUCAAGUAAAAGAAGAUUUUAUUUAGUGAUAUGAAUUCUUGAACAGAAAAAUCACCAUAGGCACCAUGGAGAAUAAACUAAAUAAAGAAACCAACAGAAAUAAGUUUGCUAUAGACCUGGAAGAUAUUCCCCUUGAACCCAAACCAGUGGUGCUCUUAGUAGAAGAAUUAUCAAUCUUCUUAAGGAGUUCGCCAGCCGAAACAUUGCUCUGGUCAAUGCAGUCCAAAGCAUGUAGCCACCAAUUCAUAUAAUCAUUCUGUAGCUCCCUAGUGAUAUUCAAGACCUAAAGGCAGCCAGAGGCUCAGUAUGAGGGAGAAAAGGGAAAGGCUUGGAUCACAUAACAUUUACCAAGGAUUAGGAAUAUAAAAGAAGACAAGAAAAUAUAAAUAGAUUAAGAUAGCUUGUGCAAAUACAAAAAUAAGAAGUGUAGUGAUCAAACCUCUGUGAAUGAUGCAUUAAAAUCCUUCUGUGCUACUAUCAGCCUUGAAGUAAAAACUGACAAGUACUUUUCUGUGAUUGCAUUGCAAGUCUUCCUCAAGCACUCAUCAGCAAAACACUUUGAUGAUGAGUGGCCUCCAGCAAAAUUCUCUGUGUCCAUUUCUCCAUUUGUGCAUGCUUGUCCAAUAACAUUUUCAUCUUCCUCAAACGUUUCUAAACCAUUAGCUGUCAAACUCGAAACACCGUUCUCACAUAUUUUAUUUCGCUUUAUGAUACAUAGAUCUGUCUCAACAGUGCUAAUCUCCUUUCUUUUCCGGCCGAUGUCAACUUCAGAAGCCUGCUUUUUUAAUGGGCACUCUUGUAAAUAUUCAGAACUAGUUCUGAGCAGUUCCGCAAGAUUGUAGUUGAUAUGAAGAUUCAAUAGAGGGUCAACACGGAAAUCAUCAACAUUUUCAUCAGCCAAAGCUAGUGCUUCUUUGUACAAUGAAAUGGCUUCUUGGUUCUUUUGUUCGAUAGCAGCUAGCCCUGCAAGACCAUUCAGGGCAACUACAAUUUUCCUAAGCUCUUCCUCUCCUUCAAUUUUUGCUUUACCAAUAAGGACCUGGAUACAAAAGUAUUACCAGCCCACUGAGAACAUUAUUAAAAAGUUGCACUACAAAUAUUAGGUGGCAACAAGGACUGUAACAUUAUUAGCUAUUCACCUGUAAAAUCUCAUCCAUUGACAACGGGUUAUGCUGCAGGGAGCAGAGACCAGAACUCCCAACUUGCGGGUGGCAGCAUGCCUGCCGAAGUUUCAGCAGUGGGACUAGGAGCUUGACAAUGUCAUCAUUGGAGAGGUAAACAUUUAGUAAAGCAUUUGAAUCUGCAAACACAAGGUAAAAAAGAAGCCUAAGAUUUUUUGGAAAAAGGGAAUAUAGUGUGGCAACUGUCGACCACCGAGCAACAUGUUUAAUAAAAAGGGCCUACCCAAUGCUGAAAGCUCCCACACAACACGACAUGGGGUUCUGGGAAAGGGAACUUUUAGGCAGCCUUACACAAGAUGUAACAGUCUUUGAAAAUUUGCUAUUACCUACGAAUGCCUCUGAAGCAGAAAGUCUUGCAGCUUUGUUUUGAGUGGGAUAUGGAGAACAAGAGAAAUGUAAAUUUUGGAUAUUAAAUCAUCCCAUUAGCCAGUCAUGUGAGACAAACAAAGCAAGGAAAAGGAAGCAGAAAGUAAUAGUAAAAUCUUUUCGUCUAUAUUAUGUGCUUAAGAAAUGUCCUUACCAGCUAGUUUUUUUGCUCAUAAUAUCUAUGAAAUAGAAUGAAAACCCAGACCCAGAGAAUCGAUGUGGAAACCUGAAAUGAUUGAUUUGGUGAACAAAGUACCUGAAGUUGAUUCCUUUCUGUUGACAUCAUUUCUCAAACUUCUAAUAAUCUGAUGUGCAUGGUCCAUGCAGGUUGCAUGCUGCUUCUUAUAGAAAUAUUCUUCAAUGGAAGAAAAGAUGAGCCAUGAAAAACACUCUUCUUGAGGAGGAAGCUGUAGUUCACCUGAGACAUGAACUUUGGAAGAGCGCCACAUGAUUUCCCUAAAGAAAUUGUGUGCAUAAUUCAUAGCUAUUUGGUCCCCCUUCUGCAGUUUGUUCAAUGAGACAAAAGAAAAUAAUUAUUCAGUCCAGCUAUCUCACUAAAAAGAUGUUAUCAAAGGCUAGCAACAAACGUUACAUGCAAAGCUAUGGUAAUAUUAUUCAUAUCAAGGCGUACCAAGUAAAGACAAGCAUUACAUGCACAGCUAUGGCAAUAUUAUUCAUGAUUCUUGUAUUGCUAUACAAAGCAAUAAACUAGCACUAAACUUGUCAUUGUAUCAUGCCUGCCUAUGUUUUCAGACUACAUGGACCAGAUGGUAAGAAGACCCAACAAGCUCAGUGUAAGACACAUACUAACCAGAUUUCUCGUAUUUCACCAUAUCCAUCACCAACCACCACAAAAUUAUGUUGUUCAAGUUGUCAGCCUAAGCAAGUGAUUAACAGUUUAUGGUGCUUAAGUUGUCAGCCUAAGCAAGUGAUUAACAAUGCCUUCCAGCGUCAGCAUGUAAUAGACACACAGUUAACAGUAGCACGCAACAUACCUCAUAUGGGUCUCUAAUAAUGUCCACCCACCAUCUAUAUGUGUCAAAUGGGCUUGUCCUAAGAAAACGUAGAAGCCCAAAGAGAUCAUCAAGCCUGCGUUGUAUCGGGGUUCCUGUGAUACACCAACGGUGUUGGGCAUGUAGCCUCAUCGCCAUCUCAGUCACAGAAGUCUUGCUUGACUCUACCAUCUGAGCUUCAUCCAAACAAAGCCGCCACCAGUGGAUCCUUGUCAAGACUGUUGGAAUGACGGGAUAUCUAUAGAGUGUAAUGACAGUUCAGCAGAGUUUCAGGGUGAGUCAUUUUAAAUUUUGCAUAAAUGGUACACCUGGAUAACACAUGGGAUGCUUACAAGACUGUAAGCACUCAAAGGAGUAUCCAGACCCAACAAGCUAUUUCACUUCUAUUUCAGCUUUUAUCAGUGUACCCUGAUUCUAAAUGAUAGAUAAGCUCAAGUUAGUUAUCCUUUCAGCUUUACUAGGUUUUUUUUAUAACCACAUCAUGCCAGAUCACUAAAAAGGUGUCGUAAUUCAAAAAAAUGUUAAUCAUGAACCCAACAGAACACCUCAAAAAAAUAAUAAAGAAAAAGGUACAGAUGCACAGUGUUGUGCAGGUGUUUUUGACAGUGUGCACGGCCUCUCUUUUUCCCUCUUCUUAAUAUAUAUGACACGCAGUUCACCAGCGCGUUCAAGAAAAAAAAAAGAUCCUAUUCAGAGUAGUUUCAGCUCAUUGACAUCUUCGCAAGGCAGAAGCAUGUAUAUGGGUCAUGUAACUCUGCUACUUGUAGUUAUUGUUUCAAUUUAACUUUACCUGUCAUGUUGCAUUUCCCAACCCAAAAAAACCAACAACAAGAAACCCCAAAAAACACAUUUGCCUCAAAGAUGAAAAGAUCCAUGACUUCCUGGUAAAGAAGAAAGGUAUGUUUCCAAUUAUUUACAGAGGGAGUUAACUACUGGAAUCAGUCUGUCCUAUCAUGUCAGCCUUCAUUGUGAAAAAAACAUUACUUGCCUCUUCUGAAAUCUCAAGAAACGACGAUCACCAUCAUGCCGAUCAAAAUCAUGUGAUAGAUCUUCUUUCAAGACAUCAUAGGUUGUCAGGACAACAUCAGCAGUACUUAUAUCAGUCAUAUCAAUUUUUUGGAUGGUAGCCAGAUCUAAGUUCCUUGCACCUUCAUAAAUGCAAACUUUCAGAGAUCCUGGCCUUGUGUGCCUUGAGUUAAAGAAAACAGCUAUUAGCACUAUCAUUAUAUGCAGAUAACAAUACCAUAAAAAAAGAGAUAAGCCGAAACACUUAAAGAAUAAAAUUGGAUAGGGCACUUGAAGCUUCAUUCUUGGUAUAGAUUGUAUUAGAGUGGGAACAUAUUAUCUAAAAAGCUUGUUAUCAUAAGCACUCUUAAUUCUUAUAGAUCCAACAGAAGGAUUUUUAAAAUAAAGUUGUGGAACUUCUAGAACACCGAAAAAUGCAAGCAGUGAAGACGAGAUUGGGUUGUGGCUAGCAUGGUGUGAACAAAAUAAUAAUCCUACAUUGUAAACAAGAGACGGAGAUCUCAAAUCUGAAAUUAACAGCAGCACAUAUAGUGUUACACAUUAUCUUGAUAUAAUGAUGUUUAGCUCAGAAAAACUGAAGAACGUUGAUUCUGCUAUUGGGAAACUAUUGACAAAACUGUUCAACUAACAUUUUGAUAAAAGGAAUCAUACCGGGUAAUCUCAGAAUACCACUGUGCCAAUAUUGGCGCUGGACAUACUAUUAAUGUAGCAUGGCUGAAUAUAUUAGUUUGAGCUGCUUCAGUAAGCUCCAAGCACAGUGCACAAACAUAUUUGUCUUCUGUAUCAACAAUAGAGCACCAGGGUUUCUUUUUCCUUCUAAUCCCAGGCUUAUUGUCACUUUUUUCAUAUUUUGAUGCUACAUCUUCAGUGGUGUUAUCAAAAUGUAUAUCUUCUUUGGGUGCAUAACCAACACAAUCAGCAUGUUGCCAGGCAUCACAAAUGUCGCAUUGAACCCACAGACCCUUGUAUGCAGAACUUUCACUCGCAGCCCCACAAACGCACUCAACCCUUUCUACUUUCUGCCUCUUUGUUUGAGGCAUUUCAGUUUUGUUCUGGGAGAUAGAAAGGCCAAUUGAAGAUGGCCUACUAUGGGCAAAAAUGCAAGCUAAAAGCUCGACAGUUUUCCCCAAGCCCAUUUCAUCUAUAAUCAAUCAAGCACACAAAAGGAAUGUCAGCGGAAACUAUCAACAGAAGUGAAAACCAUGAAAGAAGUAUAAUCAUGAAUUUAUUAUCACAGUUGUUAUCAACAUACCAGCCAAAAUGCCCCCAGAAACAUAAGGUGGAGAAGGCUCUGGUCGCAAUGAAAUAUUUCCGCUGCAAAGUAACAGAUACAUGAAAGUCUGAGCCAUUCACAGAAACAAUUAAAUUUUAUAAUUCCUCUGUAAAGUAACAUAUAUGUGAAAAUCUGAGGCAUUCACAGGAACAAAUAAAUUUUAAAAUCAAGACUGCGGAAACAUUAUGUGCUCGGAAAACAAGUUGCUUGAAUAGUACAACAAUAUGAAAGGAACUUAAGUAAUCUCUAGUAUAAUUAAUACUGCAAGCUACAAACAUAUCAACCAGAUAUGAUUAGCGGCUACGCACUUCAGACUUACUUGAAAGGAUUGUAGAACAUACUGGAGUUCUUGUGAAUAAAAUCGAUAGGAACACAAUAUGGUGCAGAAUAAACAUAUUCAUGAUGGAGAAUAUUUCCCUUUUCACGUUGAACCAUCCAAUGUGCUGCACGGAGUUGAUAUGGCCUGAGCUGAGGAACUAAAUCAGGAAGACCAACUUCCAACUGUUCCGCGUUACUAAUAACAGGAACAAAAAAAAAGUAUCAUACAACAGCAAGAAAAAAGUAUGUUAUAACUAAGCUUUGUAAUACUUUGUAUAACUCAAAUCAUAGAUUCUGACAAAGCAGGCACAUAUGGUAUACCAUAACAUCGGCAGCAAGUACUUAUCUGAGUUUAAAUGCUCUCCUACAUGGCUACAUUCAUGUUAAAGCACAUGAUUAUGAGCUUAGAGUAACAGUGAGAUGUAAGAUACUCACAUCGAAGGCUUAACUGCCUCAUAAAAAGCAGCAAGAUCAAACUGCGAAUCACUUUUAGGUGUGAAAUCAGCAUUAGCACCAUCAUCCAUCGGCACACCAAGACUAUCCAUCCUAUAUAUUGCAGCCGACGUUGUGACCUCAGGACGCAGCCAAGCCAUCAUAUUCAUCAAGCUCUUCCUCCAUGGAUGCCUAGCCACCUCCAGCAGCGAUUCACACGCGCUGAAAGCCCCCUCCAUCACCUCCACUCUAACCCUGAAUGAUUCAGCCCGCGCUUUGCCCACAUCCCGAAACGCUCUAAGCGAUUGAACGCGCAGGGUGACGAAUCUCAAGCUCACCAAAUGGGCGAGGCCGGAUACACCUUCAUCAGGACCAUCAAAACACCCUGACACCACGAGUUGUUCGUGUUUCUCUUCGCGAUCCCCAUGGACGACAUACUCCAGGAGCACGCAAUCCGACGGCACAACGGGCCACUGGCCCAUCCUGAACCCCUCCUCCGGCGCGUCACGCACAAGCAUACGCAAGGAGAACCUUGAUGCCCCGAAUGCCUCCUCCAACGCCUCCUCCCCGUCGUCGGAGACACUCACGUCUCGGAGGACUACCUCGGCGACGUCGCGGUGGUCGGCGUCGGCGAGCCCCCACGUGCUCCUAUCCACCUCCACGCGCACGUCCCUCCUCGCCUCGCCCUUGGCCGCACGCUUCGUACCCCCGCUGGGGCCCGGCGCGUCGGGGUCGGCCUCGGCCGCCGCAGACGCGGCGCCCGCCGCUCGAACCGGCCGCGAUUUCUUCCUCCCCAUGUGUGAUUCAGCAGUGUGCUGAACUCUUAGGUGGGGGUUUUGGACGCCGGAGCAGAACUGGGCGCGGGUAUUCGAGGAAAUCUCGCGGUGUUUCAGUGAUUGGAGUUCGAGCCCUCGGAUUUUUGAGAAGAGAGGGAGGACACGGGAGCAAAGACGAGUGGCUGGGGCAUACGGGGGUAGAGAUUGAUGACACGGCGGAGGUUUUAGGAAGAACCGGCCGGCGAACUGCCGGGAGAGAAUGGAGGAAGGGCGGUUGAGGUUGAUUUUUUUUUUCUUUUCCGAAAGACGGUUGAGGUUGCCAAUUCGUCAAAUUUGAUCUUGAAGCUGGUGAGCGUUGCCAAUUCGUCAAAAUCAAUCACAAACUCAAGUAAGAAGGUUAUUGCGUCAUAAAUUUGAGACUAUAUCAAAUUAGCAAGGGUACGUUUGGAUCCGACACUAAGAUUUAGCUAACUAAAAUUUUAAAACUAAAUUUUGGCCAGUUAAAAUUUGUCCCAGCUAAAUUUUAGUUGAGAUAUUUGGAUCCUCCGGCUAAUAGAUUAAGCUAAAAUUUAGCUGGCUUUACCAAUAUAUUGAAACAGCUAAACUCAGCUAAACUCUAGCUGGUCUUUUAGCUGCCGUUUGCAUUCCUAGCAGCUAAAUUUAGCCAAAGCUUUAGUUGGUGAAUCCAAACAAGCCCUAAAUACAUUGCCCAUCAAAUUAAUAGACUUUAUUGAUUUUUUUUACUUCAAUUUUUAUCCCUCUAUGUAAAAUAACGCAAUAACUUUUUAUACACUACCUUAACCCACGUAAUUGAAUGAUAUAUAUUAAACUAGCAAGCUGAUCCGCGCAAAUAGUAUUGGUAGCUAGUAGAUUUUCAUUAUUCUCCAAUCUCCAAUUCUUAAAAAUUGAUGCAUACAUGCACCUAUAUUGUUAUAUUGUCCUACGGUUGAUGCAUUUUUUCUCCAUUACCAUGUACAGGGUCUACAAUUGCAGGUGGCAAUGUAUAACCUUCUCCUUAAUGCCUACCAUCCUCUAUGGUCAUCGUCACCUUCUCGGAUUCUGACUCAUGUUAGCUUUUUUUCUCUCAUUUCUAUUAAUAUAGUUGUUCCCUAUAAGCUAGUGCUAUUAAAUUGUGCUUCUCCACCGCCAUUCCUAUGAUUCUUUUGGGAUUGUUAACACACUUCGUAAAUUGAACACUAAUGAGUAGUUUGGUAGGGCAUCGUCUUCUUCUGAAGUUUAUUUAGUUUUGGCUCAACGGUGAAACCACAUAUUUUCUGGAGCCGAAACCAUUUAAUUUUUUUUGGCAAAGCAGCUUCUUAAUGUUAAUGUGGUAAUUCUGAGAAUACUUUAAAGCUUGAUGGGAGAGGAGAAGUCGGUUAAAGCUUUUUUUUACUCCUCCUCUCUACUAUAAGCCGUUUUGAGAUUUCAUGUAGGCUUCUUGGUGAAGCCGUUUUAAUUUUACCUAUUUCAUAGAACUUUAUUGAAAGUUGUUGGAGAAACUAAUGGAGAAGCCCCAGCUGUCGGUGUUUUUAUCGUCAGCCUGCCUAGGGAUACCCUAAGAUAGGUGAUUAUUUGGUGAGGGAUCGUCGGAUCUGAAAUUUGAAGGUGAACGCAAGGACAUAAGAUACAAAUUUAGAUAGGUUCGGGCCGCUAGAGUAGCGUAAUACCCUACGUCCUGUUUUGGGGUGUUGUAUAUUGCGCCCUGCGCUUGGAUGUUGAGCAGCCUGUUGGCUGCUCUCUGUUGGUUCUCUAUUGGUUCUCUUUCUGCCUAUCUAGGUAUCCCCGCCCUCCUUUAUAUAUCCCAGGGGACGAGGUUCCUAGUAGGAUUACAAGGUAGGAGUCCUAAUACGAUUACAAGGUAUGAGUCCUAAUAGUAUUACAAGGUAUGAGUCCUAAUAGGAUUACGGUGGAAUUCUAGUAGGAAUCAGACUUCUUUUUCCUUACAUGUAGCUUCUUUACGGUACCCAGAGGAUCUAUCCCUGACACCAGCAAACAUAUCCUAAUAACUGUCAUGGUUACAUGUGCUAUAGUUAUAGGUGCUGGUGUUUGAGAUAUUAAAAUAUGAUGAAGGGCAUGUUAAGACUCAAUGAAUACCAUAGUCAAGCCACUACUUAGGUACCAAUUUAUUAUGAUGAUUGAUUUGUAAUAUUUAAUAUUUAUUUAUCCGUAAAUCUUUAAGUAGAAGCGUUCAUCUUUCCAAUGUUUUGCAAACUAAUACUGUAGUAAAAAUGAAUGCUAGAAGGUGACAAUUGUCAUGACAAAGUUGUUGUACUCUACAAUGCUGGAUAACUAAUCAAGCAAGAUGUACAUCACCAAAGUAAUGAUUAACUCAUUAUGAAGCAGCAAUGAAAGUUGUACCAGUAGUGACAAUAGCCUGAAAAAUAGGUACAUGUGUUAUUUAUGUGUUAUUUAAUUAAUUUUCUUAGAAAUUGAAUAUCAAUUUCUGAAAUAUCAGUUUUUAUUAUUUUUCUUGUAAUUUAGUUAUUCACUUAUUCGUUAUUUACAUAGACUUUUUAAUUUUUUUAUUUUCUUCAAAAUUCAUGUAGAAUAGUUUUUUAUUAAUUUAAUUUCGAGUUAAGAUAUAUAUUAAUCAUAUUCAACGAACUCUUUCGAUUAAUAUAAAUCGUUAGAUUAUUAUAAAAAUUGCUGCUAUAUAUAUUCCUAUACUUUUAAAUGUAUAGCUUAAAUAUUUUGAUAUGAGCUAUUUACAUAUGUAAUUUGCUUCCUAACUCAAUAGGAAUCAAGAUAUUUAUUCUUAUUAUUUUACUUUACUUAGCUAUUUUUAUUCAAAAAUUCAUAUACAAAUUAAAUACUAAUUUGUUAAUUUUAUUCUAAAUUUAGCUAUUUGUUUAUCAUAUUUGACAUGAAAUGCUUGUGAACUUCUAAUUCCUUUCUUAACUCAAAUUUAAUUAUUUAUUAUUUGUAUUUGACCUAUAUUAUUUAUAUUAGCUAUUUUUCCUAAUUUACUUCUGCUAUACAAAUCAACUGCCAUUUUUUGGUUUAUUAAGUUUUGAAUUUAUCUAUUUAUUAGUUGCGUUCGAUAUGGACUCUUGGAUCAACUAAUAAUUUUCUUAUUUUUUGAAUUUUAUAUUUAACUAUUUACUAAAAGUAUUAGGCAUGGACACUUUGAUCAUGUCCUAUCUUUUUCUUAACUUUUAAAUUGUAAAUUAGCUGUUUAUUAAUCGUAUUUGAUAUGAACUCUUGUUAGUUUAGACCAUUAGAUUUUUAUAAUAUUUAUUGUCACACCAACAUCGUUCUUAGCUUUGCGUUGAUCGCCAUUAAAUUUGGAUUUGCUAGAUUCUUCAAUCAGCAAAUUUGCUUGCCAGGAAAAUUAAUUCUGAAUUGCUAGCGGAAGGAUAAUAUUAUAUAAUUGCUAGUCUCUUUCGGGAUUACAUAAAAGAGAAGUAUAGACUAUAGAGUAUCCGAAAUUUAUAUACAAUACACAUUGCUCGUAGGAGGAUAAAUAAAAUUAAAUAAAUUAGCCUGCGCGGCACGCUGAGAAUCAGCAUCAGCAACAGCAGGAGACCAUGGUGAGGGUUAGUUGGUGUUGGUCACUUUCGCCGUCCGACAGUGGACGCUUGGACUCGAGGCCAUCCAGCAAGAGCACCACACCAUCCUCCGUCCCGAGCAGAAACCUGCUGCGGCUAACAUGCAAGCAGGCAGCUGUUCAGAUUGAAUUGGCAUUCAGGAGCUCUGUAGUUUGUUUAUUCUUUUUUUAGCAAGCUUUGUAUAGUUCUUCGCCGCCGGUAAAAUCUUCGACAUCGUUGAGAUCGUUGCGCUGAGUAAAGUACACGUUGCUAGCACAAGAACAAAAUUAUUAACGUGUAUAUGAAUUGGAAAGAUUCCAGUUGUGUCCGACAUGGACUUCAUGCUGCACGAUAUCUGCUAACAUAUUAGUUGUAUUGGAAUUAGAUAUAAACUCUUUAGGGCGGUCUACGCCAUGAUCUAGCGAGCUUGUAGAUGUACUUUCUUGCAUGAAUGCUUACCAAAUUUAGGUACCUUUUAAUUGGAUAUGACACCUGCCCCUUUAUUUAACUAUUUUUCUUUCCAAUUCGUUGAAUCCAUAUGCUAAUUUUAAAUUUUCAAAUUUAUAUGUAUUUAUUAGUUGGAUUUGAUAUGGACUCUUUAGAUUAGUUUAAACCGUUAGAUCUUUAUAAAAUCCAACGGUGUAUAUCUUUCUCUUUUUGAUUAAUUAUGUGUAUUUAUUAGUUGGAUUUGACAUGAAAUCUUUGGGUUAAUUUAGACCGUUAGAUCUUCAUAAAAUCUAACGGUGUAUAUCCUUGUUUUUAUUAAUAUGGGAAUUUCUAGACUCUCUCGGUGAAUAUGGUGGCUUAUUUUAACACUCCCUUAUUAAUAUAAUAGAUAGAAUAUAGUUCGAAUGAGACCUCUCACCCUGUAAGGUGGACCAGAUAUGGACCGAAAAGCUAUUAUGGAUCAACACGACACAUAAUCUUUGUAUAUCAACCUGUAAUAUAGACCUAUAUCAUGUAUCUAUAUCAUGAUAAUAUAAAGAGCAUAACGUUCACUCUAUUUCAUGUAAACAAAACAAUCAACAUUCUCGAGUUAAUUACAUACAACAAAAAAGAUUUUUUGAUUCAAACUACUACAAUGUCUUAGCACUCAGCUUUGUUGUUCCCAAACAAUGUCUUAAUGCUCAUUCUUUCUGAGAUUCGUAAUGCUGUGUACUUACACAUUUCAUUAGCACAGCAUUUUUCAAGCUGGAAAAAAAUGGACAAGCAAACGGCCUAUGAAUCCAACUGCACCUAAAAUGAAUGGUAACGCUAUACCUAUAAGAAUUCUAACAACCAAAAAAAAUUGGAGCAAUCCAAUUCCAAAAGCCUCUAAAAAUGAUGUAGGCGAUAAGAAGGUAUUAAAUACCUCAUCUGAACGAAUAUGAGGAAUCAGGAUUUGAACCCUGAUCGGCUAGCUCUUCCCAAGGACACUAGCCAGCUGCAGUAAGGCAGCUUCUCAAGCCUCUAUCCCUCAAAUAUAUACAAGCCUAGCAACCCUGCUAUCAUUUGAUCCGGAUGGCUCCCGGUGCAGGGAUCCCCUUGCCGGGCAUCCCUGGGACUGGGAGCGGCCAACCAGAGCCUCUCGCCGCUGAUCUCUUCAGCGUGCCACCGUCUUCCUCAUCCGAGUCAUCGACGUCGUAGUCGUUGUCGUCGACCCAAACACCUUUCCCUUUCCUGUCGUAGUGCCCCACGCUAGGCGUCGUCCGCUCGCUGAAGCUCUCGUACAGGUCAGGGGAGUGCCGCAGCAGCUCGCUCGCCGACCCGUACCCCAUCAGCCGGUGCAGCCUGCCCACGCCUUUCGUCCCGUCGAGGGUGUCGAACGACGUGUUCCUCGACACGUGCAGCGCCUGCUCGUCCUCCGUCGAGUAGCUGCUCAGCCCGAAGCCGUCGAUGAACGGCGCGAAGGGGUCCGGCUGUGCCGCGCAGCCUUCGCCGCCCAGCAGCUCGGAACCGUCUGUGCUGAACUGGUCGAGGGAGUCCAGCAGGCAAGCCUUCUUCCUGGCCGGGUCCCUGUAGGAGUAGGAUAGGACCGUCGAGCAGGAGCCGCACCGCAGCUUGCGCACGGUCUUGGUCGAGACGGCGAAGUCGGCGGGCACCUGGACAAGCUUGAAGCAGCUGGAGCAGAUGAUGAACGGCGCGCCCUUCAGGACCGGCCGGCAGUGGUUGCGGGGCGGCAGGCGCCGCUUGGCCUCCUUUGCUGCCGGUGUCUUCCGCGGCGCGGAUGAUGGCUCCUGCGUUCUGGGCCUGGAGCAGUGUCCACGGCAGCUGCCGCACUCCGGCUUGCCGCGGUGGCGGCAGCAACCGUGAUGGCACGACCUUGGCUGCACGUUGUGGCAGCACGGGUCGGCUCUGCACUGGCGGUAGCGCCGUGACGGCAAGCCACGCGGAGGAGCGGCAACUUGGCCGGGCUUGACCACACGAGCCGGGCUGCCACGGUGGCCGUCGGCAGCAGCAGCUGCAUGACGAGCUCUGGAAUGGAGGCUUGGGGCCACGGCCGCGCGAGACACGUAUCCUUCUUGCUUGGGAAGACGAGGAGGACGCGCGCGUGGCGUUGGAUUGAGCUCUGGGGACUUACUGAAAAGUUCGGAGAGGUCGCCUUUCAGCUCAUCCACCGUCUUCAGAAUCUUCUUCCGCAAGGGCCCCAAGUUUUCUGCUUGAAUCUCCUGGCGAGAUGGGCUCAUCGCCUUUUCCCCGGCAGCAGCAGCUUCCUGUCCCAACGCAUCUCGUGCAGAAUGCGCAGUUGGGGCUUGAGCUGAUUUCGGUGCGAGUUCUUCGCGAUGGUUGUACUGCGGCUGCAUUGUGGCUUCACCUGAAUGUUUCUUUCUUGCAGCAUCGGGUGAUUCAGCCUGGCGUUGCAUCCUCUUCUCAAUAUCAUCCUUCAAUUCAGAAGUAGCAUUUUUGUUUUCUUUGGGAGAAGUAGCACUGCGAUCGGCGCUACCAGCAUCUGCUUGUCUUCGACCUUCAGAAUUGUCAGAGAUCACAUGAUUGGCAGCACUCUGAUCAUGUCCCCUCUUCUCCAUCAGUUCCACUUGCUCAGAAACACGAUUCCUCGCCGACACGAGAUCACCGGACUCGCGUCGGCUCGUCGUGGCAGUGCCUUGGCGCCUGCUGCUUGUGGCAACUGCAAUGCUGCUACUGCUUGCAACAUCACCGGAAUCGUGCUUCCUCGCCGACACAAGAUCGCCGCUCGUGUGAGUGCCUUGGCGCCUGCUACUUGUAACAGUAGGAGUGCUGCUGCUGCUGGCAACAUUCCCGGAACCAUGCCUCCUCGCCGACACGAGGUCACCGGACUCACGCAGGCUUGUCGUGUCGGUGGCUCGGUGCCUGCUGCUGGUGGCAUCAAGGGAAGUGGGGGUGCUGGACCUGCUGGUGCUGGCGACGUCAGUGGAGUCCAAGUGUCUGCCCUGAGGAGGCAGCCCACUCCUUGAGGGCGAAGCCCUUGGCGCGUCUCCUGCGCUGCCGGUGCGGUUUUUGGCUGUACGAGCACAGGAGAACCCAUCAGAAAUCUGCAGUGUGACCAAGCAUCCAAAUGCUAGCGAUCAAAACAAGAGCUGAACCUGAAAUUACCUCGAAGACUAGUGCCGCAUCCACCGCAUUGGUAGACGGGUGCGCCGGGCUCCUCAAGAACGCAGUGGCACCUCGGACAUCUGACGCGGUGAACCGGCCUGGCGUCUGAAUUUUCCAUGAGCCGACAGGCCCCAGGACAUUAGGAGCUGUCGAUGAUCAGAGAUUCAGAGAACGCUGCCUGCGGUGUCAAUCAAAAAGUUAACAGGAAAACACAUGAGCAUUCUGUUGACAUCUAAUCUUGCACCUUAUAAUUGAUUGAAGAGACGACAGACGAAAACAGGAAACAAAAUUUGUACUUAUAUGUAACGUCUGGUAGCCAAAGUCUGACUUGAGUGCGAACGAUGACAGAGAAAGAACGGUAAGCAUGGAGUAACAGCGACCCCUAUGUUUGAACUGUUCUUUUUGGGGUUUUUUCAGGAAACGUUUGAACUGUUCUUUUCCUUUGGGCAAACAAAUAAGUGCACUAAAAGGCUCAUUACUCCUCCUCCUACUACUACUACUAAAGAGGGAUAAAAUAAAACAGCCAUUAGUCCACUACUAGUCAUUUCAGUUAGGUCGCACAAAAUUCAGGAGACAAACUGCCUGCCUAAAAACUUGUGUUUGGACAGAAGAGGCAACGGCCAAGGCAAAUACAAGAUUCAUGAGCAUUUUUGAACAAAAUUCCCCAAAUUCGCUGGCUCGAACGAAUUAACGAAACUGAGAUCCCAGAACAUUCUAGAAGGGAAUCGCGGUCUGAAGCACGAAAGAAGCAGAGCAAGACACGCACACUCACCUCUGCCUUCGCCUUCGCCUUUCCACUUGCCGUCGUCUCCAGACGCUUCUUGUUGCUCCUGGUGCCGGGCCUUGUCCCCCCAAGCUCAACUGCUCCUCCGAAUCCAAAUCCCCUGGCUGGGUGGGUGCUCCUCCGCUAUAUACUGUACGACGCCUCCUGCGUCCCCGGGCUUCAACUCUCGGUAGUUGCGGUUGCCUAACCGGGCAAAUAAUUUAGUGAUGGACGCCUCCUCCCCUCCGUGGGGUCCGUGUGAACUGCGAAGCGAGAGGCCCCUGCAGGUGCUGUUUGGUGGUGAGCGGGCGAGGGAGGGAAGGAGCAAUAGAAAAAAGAAGAAGAUGAUGGGCUGAGCUGAGCUCAUGAAAAACGAUGGCGUGUGCUCGGCAAAUAUUUAUACGCGGCGGAGGAGAGGAGAAAAGGGGAGGAGGCAGCGAGGAACGGAAGGGUCCGGUUCCGGCGCGGGCGACCGCUUCAACGACGACGAGUGAGUGGUCUGGGCGAGACGUCCACUGGCUGCCUGGGUUGGGCCAGGUCGCCCAGGCCGUGCCGAGGAGCGAGGAGGGCGAGAGGCGAGGAGCGAGACCGUGUCGCGGACGCCAGUCGCGCAUGCCACCGCGUCGUCAUCCCGGCGCACGUAGGAUAGGAAUCAUUUCCCUUCUGGAUGCCAGCGUGGUGGCCACCGCGCGUUUUCUCCGGGGGGCAGCGCCCGACUGCGACGGCUGGCUGACACGGCUUCUUGACCGACGCCGCCCGGGGUCGGGAAAGCCACCGGGUCGCUGCCCCGGGGAGGUAGGCACGGCGCAGCUGCAAAAGUGUCGAGGAUUCGAACUGGGGCGGGCGCACCGCAACCGCGAUUAAACUAGGCGUGUUCAUGCACGCGCUACGCGAUCACAGCCGAAAUGGAACGCGGGAAUCAUUGUGUGCCGGGCGCAUGAUUAGCUCGUGUAGCAGCGUGGCGUAAAGCGGACGGAGGCUCUCAAGGGAGUACGUUCUUCGUCCACAACCUGACGGACGGCCAUCCAUGGCGCACCCAACAGAAAUCCGCAAAGUAGCAGGCCCCGGUACCUUUUUCUUAGGCAAAUCAAACGUCGCAGUCUGGGACCUCUUCAGUCUUAGGCAAAUCAAAUGACUAAAUAGAAUGCCCGGAAAAAUGUUUCACUGUAAAAGAGGAGUAAGAUCCCUUGCUAUUUGCGCACCUCCUUCAAACCCUGAUUAAUAGGGCUAAAGAGCUAGUUUGCCACCGCCAACAGGAGCAGGAACUAACUUCCCAGUCGUCCAAUACACUAAUUAUAAUGGAAGCAUGUGCAUUUGCAUCCUCCACUGGCCUAGAGGUUAAUUCUUCAAAGUCUGUCAUUAAUAUCACACAAGACAGACUAACCUCCUUGGCUCGAUACAUUUGUAACUCUUCUGUAUUAAUAUUGCGAAUUGAGGCGCAGUAUCUUCACCUGAACCCACUUUGCUCUGUCCUCCCAACCCAAGAAUGUGGCAGGUGAGGCGGCUGCUUGCUCAGGCUCAGAAGGCCGCGUGGCGACGCCAUGCCCGCGGCCAAAUAAUCCAUGCUGCCGCGCCGCCCGACCUCGGACCGGAAAGGCGAUCCCCAGCCUAGCCUGUACCCCGCAGUCGGUGGCGCAGGUCAAACGCCGGCGACAGCAACGCCAGUGAGUUACGGGAUCGUCGGCCGCGCCAGCCGCCUGCAUUUCAAGGUCGAUCGAUAUCUGCACGACUAGUCCAAGGAGGCCUCUGACUGGAGGAUCUAGAAGCCCUUUUCGUGUUGUCGUGGUGCGCUGGGUGUUUGGUUAUCAAUCUUUUAUAUUUCUAAACUAUUACGUAUAUCUAGAUGUGCAGUAGAAUCUAUUUAUCCAGGUUUGAUAAAACGAUCUGCAGAGGAAAAACUUGUAUAGUUAGGCUAGUCCAGUCAGUGUUAUCUACCGCUGCCACCGUCACUAGGCCACUAUCGUCUCACCGCCGAUGCAGCCAAGAACACCCAGGACCUUAGCGUACCAGCGGCUGAUUUUUUCCUCUUCAUUCGGUGACAACGGCUGGCAAUUGGCUGGGCUCGGCCUAGAUCAAUCAGCUGGGCCAGUUGCCCACGCGGCCUCCUCCAUCAUCUGCACAGCUGUCCGGUCAACGUGUUUUCCCGCAAGCCGGAGAAGAUACACGAGCAGAUCCAGACGGAAACGGCCUGGUAGCCGGGUAGGCCCUGGCCCACUACCAGCCACUGACCUGUGGGCAUAUAUCCUGGGCCCGCUUGACACGUGCGCCAAUUCUGAAGGCACCCGCCCCGUUUCCGCUUUCCCCUUCCUUCCUCCUCGGCACUCCUCGCUCGCCACCACCAACCAAUCAUCCACGCGCCCCGAGGCCCCCGCGCUCCUCGCCGGCAGACGAGCACAACGGAUCAACGCCGGUGCAUCGUUGCUAUCCCUCCCUCCCAUCGGCGAAAGGUAUCAGACAAUUCUCCUCCCUCCUUUUCUGCUGUAUCUUCUCGUCGGCUUCAAUCCACGCGCAGAGAUCCCCUGCGAUCCGCACAGGCGCAGCCGCAUAAGGAAAGAAUCGGUCGUGCGGUCCGGUUUCCUUGCUCGAUCGAUCGGUUCCCCUGUCCUUUUCCCCCCUCUCCGUUUCCGGCUGCAAAUCUUAGCUGUCUCCUCGGUGCGGUUGGUUGCUUCCACCGUUACGAUUUCUUCGAUGCGGAUGAGAUGGCAACGAGAGCAUUCAAUUUCUACCGAUUAUUCGGUUACCUCAGCAAGAGCGCCAAUAUUUUGCCCACGCAGCUAUCUGAGCUGGGCUUAGUUACGAUUUUGUUGGCAGCCGGGAUCCGAAACUCUGAAUUGGGUACACUGUUUACCUGCUACAGGAUAAUGUGGAUAGGAUUAGAGGAUUUGGUUAAAUUCUUAGAUGACAGGCAUGUGUGUUGACAGCGUUGCUAGGGUAAUAGGACAGGAGGAUUUGGGCUAAACUUUUAGACAAUAGGCAUUGGUCCUUCUAUAAAAGCAGGGUCUGUGCCUCUGCUCGAAAAGUUUUGGACCUAAUUUUGGGAACUGAGGGUACCUUGCUAUGCUCCAAAGCUUUAGUAAGUCAUGGUGUUGUGUUAAUUCAUAUUACCAGAAUUAUAAGAAUCCUUUUGGGCAUUUAACAUGCUCAGCAUACGCUUGACAGGACACCUUUGUUAUUUAUAAGCUGUGAAUUUGCAUAGUUGUCCUGUUACUUGUUGACUUCUGCACUGGAGUUUUUAAUGUUCCCGUAAAACGACACUCAUAAUCCUGUGCUGUGACACAAUAUAAUAAUGGUUCACUGCAACUUCUGGAGAUUUUAGGGUAAUCAGCUACAUCAUUUUUGGCUGGAUAGUAUGCUUGUUUCUUUUUUUUUUUUUGAAAGAUAGUAUGCUUGUUUCUUCUUAGCUUUUAUAGCAUCAUUCAGAUUCAAAUUUGUUUUUCAGUUAUCGGAUGUGUCCAUAAUGUCAGAGAAUGUAGAAAUCCUGGUAAAACAGGUGGUUCCAUGAACUUGCUAGGAUUCAUAACUUGGUUCUUGUAGCAUCCUCGGCAAAAGAAUUCUUUUAGAGUUACAGCCAAUGACAGACUCGGAUAGGGUAUCCCUGUCUGAGAUUUGCCCCCGUACAAGUUCCUUCGCCUUUCUUGUCCUUUUUGUAUGAAAGAUAGCUAACCAAUGUCCAUUUUGUGUCCAGCAUUGACUGCUUCGGCUUCAUGAGUUCAGGGAAAGCACUGGCAUCCAGCAGCUCUUAUUCACCAGUGAACAGCACCAUCUUCUUUCUCUGCCUUUUUGCUGGAUACUUGGGAAUUCCUGGUGGAAGCUUCCACUUGCUUAAGGCUAUUCGCAGUGGAGGAAGCCUAAUUUAGUCCUCACUGUGGCAGAAGUCUUAGUUCAGAAGCCUUUCCUAGAAGUUGCUAAGCCUUUAAAACAUGGUUUCUUCUCAGCCUUCCACUCUGACAGAAACCCUCGCACAGGGCCCCAACCUCUGCCCAGUCAAGAUACUUCUCCCAAUGGGCCCCCCAGAUGUUGUCUCCUCAGAAAGUGUGGAGUACGAUUUCUCUGAUGUUUUCGGUUCCACCCCAGUCCAGACACCAACAAACCUUUGUGGCCAUGGUCCAGACAGUCCUGCGCUUACUGCUGAGUCCAAUGAAGAGGUUUACAAUGAUCCUGUUGUCAUCAUCAAGCGAUCCCAUUCUCUUGUCGGUCCAACAUCACUUGUUAGCCGGUCCUUGCGACUUAGCAAGCUCAGUCUAGGAAAAACAGCGGGAUCAUCAGAACUUGCAAAGUGCCUCUCAGAAGAAAAGGAAGGGGAACAAGGGCAGCUCAGCGAUGAAGAGUUUGAUAAUGCUACAACAGAGUAUGAGGGCGUUGGGCUUGAUGAUUUUGAAAUCUUGAAGCUUGUUGGCCAAGGGGCAUUUGGCAAAGUAUUUCAGGUGAGAAAGAAAAAUACUUCAGAGAUAUAUGCAAUGAAAGUUAUGAGGAAGGAUAAGAUAUUGGAAAAUAAUCAUGCUGAGUAUAUGAAAGCCGAGAGAGAGAUAUUGACAAAAGUCGACCACUCUUUCAUAGUGCAGCUGAGGUACUCAUUUCAGGUAAUUUUUUUGUGUAUAUUCUCACCCUUAUACACAGUACAGAAGAAGAGUUUAUGUUUGGUGAAAUCCUAAUACAAAUUUCAUAUGCAGACGAAAUAUCGACUUUAUCUUGUCCUGGACUUCGUAAAUGGGGGGCAUCUUUUCUUUCAGCUCUACAAGCAAGGGUUAUUUAGGUAUCUUCCAGUUCUUGCUAGUAGUUUUGUUUGUCAAAAGGCAGUAGCAAUGGUACUGAUACUAAACUGGUUUUACAUAUCAGGGAGGAGCUUGCACGAAUCUAUACAGCUGAAAUUGUAUCUGCUGUAGCGCAUCUUCAUGCCAAUGGAAUUAUGCAUAGGGAUCUCAAGCCUGAAAACAUCCUUCUGGAUGCCGAUGGCCAUGUAAGAAUCCCAUACAACCGACAUCUUCGCCACUUACUCAAUUUGCUGACAUCUCUUCCUUUGCCAUGCAUUUCUAGGCCAUGCUCACUGACUUUGGCCUUGCAAAGGAAUUCUGUGAAAAUACUAGAUCAAACUCGAUGUGUGGCACUCUUGAGUACAUGGCCCCAGAAAUUAUUCUUGGUCGGGGGCAUGAUAAGGCUGCGGACUGGUGGAGUGUGGGAAUCCUCCUGUUUGAAAUGCUUACGGGCAAGGUGAGUUGCAAUUUUGCAUCAGAGCUUCUCAUAAGAUAGGCAUUGCAUGGCAGAUUUUACCAUCUCGUUUGCUUUCUUUGCAGCCCCCAUUUGUUGGGAACAGGGACAAAGUUCAGCAGAAGAUUGUAAAAGAAAAACUGAAGCUUCCUUCAUUUUUGUCAAGUGAAGCUCAUUCCCUCCUGAAAGGCGUAAGCUUUUACAUUUAUUCCCCGUGAUCUCAUCGUUCAUUUAAUCAGAAGCAUUAGCUUGAUUUGAGCUGACGUUCUCAUUCCCCACCAUUUUCCAGCUGCUGCACAAGGAGCCCAACAAGCGGCUGGGCAGCGGCCCUAGAGGCAGCGACGAGAUAAAGAACCACAAGUGGUUCAAACCAAUCAACUGGAGGAAGCUGGAGGCCCGGCAGAUCCAGCCGAGCUUCCGGCCUAAUGUCGCUGGGCUGACCUGCAUUGCCAACUUCGACGAGUGCUGGACGAAGACGCCCGUGCUGGACUCGCCGGUGGCGACCCCCGCUGGCGGCGGGCACAACAACUUCGCGGGGUUCACUUAUGUCAGGCCUGCGCCGAUCCUUGAGGAGGUGCAGCCAUCGAGCUCUAGGCUGGAAGACUAGGGUGGUAGCGCAUUGGAAAUGUGCGUACAAUUUUGAUCGAGUGAUAUUGAAGUAGUGGGAUGUCUUCUGCGAUGUAUCUUCAGAAGAGACAUUGUUUCUGUGUCGUGUUGUAUACCAUCUGAAUAGGGACAGAUAGCUUGUUAUAUCAUGAUGUACUGGGAAGGUGAAAUGCGUUAAUGAUAAGCGAAUGCUGACGAAGUUUUAGUAAUCUAACAUUUCAUUGUAAAAGUGACGAGCAACAGUUUUCGGCGUCCUUUGUGACGAGAUGAGCGGUUCCGUGAUUGCUCAGUUUUAUAGGCGACGGAACAAGGGGGCUUCUCAAAUCAAAUGUUACCCAAGAAUUUUUAUUAACACAGUCUCCAAUACACCACUGCUGCCUUUUUUUGUAAAAAAAAAUAUAUUAACUUCAAUGAAAAAUUGAUGCUACCACACGUCUUGUUUCGUUGGGUUAAAACUUUGACAAGCAAUCACUCUAUUAAUAUACCAUUUUAUGAUAUAAAACUUAUAACAAUAAGGUUAAUCUAGAAACAUCAAUGAUAUGCUAUAACCCUAUGGCUGAUUUUGUUAAACGUUCAAAUACUCGUAUUUGUGAUUGCUGUAACUAGAUGUUCAAAUGUUCAUACGUCAGAACAGCUUUCACACUCGCCAGCCGUUGCGCAGGAUUAUAUAUUUAUAUGACAUGACUUGGUGAAUAACUUCAAAUCUUCAAUAACCACCUGGUAUGCAUUGCAGGCUCAACUGGCAUCGAUGAUAGAGGUAGCUCAACAUUGCACAGCGGUCCAUGACAGCUCACCUGCCAUCUACCAUCGUUAAAUUGAUACGGCCCCAAAAACAGCCACAUAUAGAUAAUCAAAAAUUGAAACUCAGCCACAUUCACAUGACACGAAAAAGAAAUGCACGGCCACAAAGGUCGCAUUGAAAAAUUAGUCACCAAGACGGAGCACGAGCUCAAUUCUAACACCAUAUGGCAGCUCACAGGACUAAUAAUCCAAAGCUUUGUUUUGUGUUCAGGCCUUCCGACGACCAACUUGAGCAACGAAUCCAGCCUUGAUUGGAGCAACAGACCUUGAAGAUCCACACUAGAUACCAAAAGAACAGCUCAUUCAGAUUUCUGAUAAAAAUCUUAGGUAACAAAAAAAAGGGAAACAACAAAGUCUAAAAAUGAUCUAAAAGAAGGAUAGCCUCAGAACUUUGCAGAUAAUAUCACACUAUUUCACUCAAACAAUGUCGGCAAAUAAUUCUGCAACUCAUCAUAGGCCAAAAGUACAACCGUACACAAGAAUGAGGUAACUAAUUUCAGCACAGAAAAUGUUUGAUUCUUAAAAGAAAACUCAAGUAACAAAAUAAGACUUGCAUCAAAAAAAUACCUAGAAAAACUAGGUGACAGUGAAACUAAUAGCAGAUAAUGCACGCCACAAAUUCAUGACCUUGUUUAAGCCUCAGUAAUUGCACUUCUUAUCACAGAAGACUUGUCAAACAAUGUAGGCAAUAAAGUUGCAACUCAUCAUUGGCAGAACCAUAUAGUGACAUGAUAGUUUGAUGGAAGUGCUCACUAGAAGUGUUUAACAAGUGAAAAGUAAGGUGGAAGUGAAAUGGGGAUGAAAUUAAAUGCAACAACGAUAAAGCUUAAACUUGGUCUUCCAAUAUGAUCAAUAGAAAAGGUAGACUCAGAUUUUGCAGAUCUUAAUAUGUUAAUUUAUGACCUUGUUUAAGCCUCAGCAAUUGCACUUCUUAUCACAAAAGAAUUGUCAAACAAUGUAGGCAAUAAAGCUGCAACUCAUCAUUGGCAGAACCCUAUGCUGACGUGAUGGUUUGAUGAAGUAUCUACUAGAAGUAUUUAGCAAUUGAAAAGUAAUGUGGAAUUGAAAUGGGAAUAAAAAUAAAUGCAACAAUGAUAAGGUUUAAAUUUUGUCUUCCAAUAUGAUCCAUCAAAAAGGUAGACUCAGAUUUUGCCGAUCCUAUCACGUUAAUUCAAACAAUGUAGGCAAAUGGUUCUGCAGCUCAUCAUAGGCUACAACAGCAUGGCUGGACCAAAUAGGGGCUAGCAGAUUAUACUAUAGUCCACAAAUGAGGGGAAAUUUUAUGUGUACCAAAAAGCUGGCACAAAAUCGUUUCAUUUAGAAAGAAGAAUGCAUGUAAAAAUAUCUACAGCAGAAAACUAAGUGAUGGUAACACCGACAACAGAUAAUGCCUGGCACAAAUUUAUGGAAUUGUUUAAGCCUCAGAAAUUGCAAUUCUUAUCACAGACUUUCAAACAAUGUAGGCAAUAAAGUUGCAACUCGUCACUGGCAGAAGUGCAGAACCAUACGCAAACAAUGCCGUGGCAUGAACUAGAAAUGUUCAUAGGCAACAAUCAUGUGUAAACUGGAAUAAAACUGUAAAUAACUGCAUGUGCCCAGAGCCGAUGAAAAAUAUAUCAAGAUCAAAACUGCAGGCCCCACACUUUUACAUGGAUUUGCAUGACAUUUUACCUGCUCGCAACGAAGGAAGAACAGACGAUUUUCCUUGGAUAGAAUGGUAUCAGGGCUCUUGCAUCCAUUGCAGAUGACAUACUCAUCUGAAAGGUGUAAAAUCACAUAAGUUUAAAAUAAGGACAUAAGAGUACAAAAAACUAAAGCAACUUCCAGGAAAAAAAGUAAACAAACACCAUAUUUCUUCUAAACCAAUACAGAUGGUAUGCUUAUUAAAAGAAUGCAAAGCCAUCUGUUCAGAAAAGGGCAUACUACAAAUAUCAACACAAUUGAAUUGGUAACUUACUAAUGUAUCUCCUCAGGAUUGCUUCAAAGUUUUUGGGAGCAAAUCUUCCUUUGAUCACCAACCUUUGCUGCCCAUCAAGUGAGCCACUUGUUCCCAUUUCAGCAAGCAAAAACAUCAUCACAUGCUCAGGUUGCCUAUGCAUCCUGAAGACACAAUUUAAAGUGAGUUGAUAAUAAUUUUAUCAAUUGGAAAGAGCACUUGAGAAGGUUUGACUCGAGAAAGUAUCAGUUAAAAAUAAGCAAUCAAAGUGAUGUCGAAACUCACGUUUUACACAAGUCCAUAAAAUUAACAAAAACUGUCUUCUUUGUUCCCUCCCUAAGAACCUGAGGUGGCCUCAUUACUGUUCUACGCCUGUCCCCAGCAAGAUCUGGGUUGUUCUCACGAAGAAUGUUGAACACUCUGUCCAGGAGCUGCAAAGAAAUAUCCAAUGUCAAAUUCAUGAGUAAAAUUACAUACGGGAGACCUGCAGCGGAAAAAAUUGUAAUCCAAAUUAAUAACACAGAAUGGUGCAUAUUUUGUGCUCCCAAAGCAACAGAUGCCAAAGCACGCAAGUCAUGAAGUGGAAACAACGCCAGGAUUCUAAUAUCAUAAAACAUUCAAACCACAAAUAUACUCUGGAGGUAAAACUCUGGUAAAUCACUUAACACUUCCACCAAAAGACUUCUCGAAUAAUCUUGUGUUUAUUAAUUAUAAUGCAGAGAUCCCGGUUUAAAUGGAAAAUAGAAUUGGCAGAAAAAUAUUUAAGUACCUCUUCAUAUUUGUAAUCCCUAUCAGUUCCCUCCCAAGGGUAUCUAGGGCCACCUCCAAGCACAAUGCCUUCCCCUUGUUCCUCGUCAGCUUGAUCAUCUAAAGAGCAGGGACUCAGAUAUUGCAAAAGCAGUCAACAAGAGCAGGGUUUAAAUUAAUAACACAUGGAACACACACCUUGGGCAUCCUCCCCAUCUCCAAGGUCAGCAAGAGAUGAAUCAAGAUCCACCUGAAAAUUUGCAGGAUGAAUAAAUGUAUCGCCAUUCAUUUGCUGCUCCACAUAAAUUGCACAAUUGAGCCUCAAGUGUCCAAAAUUUAACCUGCUUCUUCUUCUUCUUCUUCAUCCCAGUGAAGUUGAGUUCAGCAGGUUCUGUGACUGAGGAAUAACAAGAAGCACAUUAAUGAAGAUAUCCCAAUGAAUAACCAAACGACUUUGUUGCAGAAUACAUACCUGCCAAGCUUUCUGUCUUCUCUGCCAGCUUGUCCACUUCAUCAGAAGUAUCUUGGAUGACCACUUUCUUCUUUUUCUUCUUCUUGGUUGGAUCAAAGGGGGCAAGCUGUAGGACAUGGAAAAUAGGUAAAUAAACAUGUGGUCACAACCAAAAAUGAGGCCAAGCAUCAAGCUAUACUUAAUCAACUAACUGUGUACCAAAAAGAAGGUUGUGGAUUCUGUACUUAAACAAGUUGAAUACAACCCUGAGUAACUAAGCCAAAUGAAAUCCGAUCCUUGAGAAUCUCAGACCAAACAACAACACACCUUGUCAUACAGUUUGUAAUUAUAUCCCAAAAGUUUGCUGAUAUCAUUUCUAACUAAAUGAUUUCAGAUAAAUCUGCUGUUGCUGUACGUGCUACUAUAACCCCCUUAGGGUCACGACUUCAGGGCUUGAACAGUCGCAAUGUCUGCUGAUAGUUCAACUCUACACCAUUUGAAUCAAAAGGUUGCAUCCACCAAGCCCCUAAUCGAUGAUACCACACCAAGGGUACUCGAAGUACAUAGACCCCAUCAGGUCCGCGUACGCAAAAGCAAGACCAACAUACCCUCAAAUCCAAUCCACAACAACUAGCAAGCCCUAGUUCGAACUACGUCGCAUCAAGUCUAGCCGAACCAAACUAGAGCCAACAGGCACCGCCCGUAUCGAUCAGUGCAGAGGCGGAGAAAGAGCCAAGCCGCUCACCUCCGGGACCUCCUCCUUCUUCUCCGCGUGCUCCUCGUCCGCCAUGGCUGAGGCGCUCGCCUUCACCUCCGAGAGGCUCUUCCUCGAACCGAGCGCUCCGAUUGCUGCAAUAGCACGAAGCAGGUCAGAUCGAACGCGGCGGCGCUGGUUCGAUUCGGUCGGCGCGAGAUGCUCGUAGGAGUUCUUACGGGCGGAGAGCGCGCGCGAGCGAGAGAGAGACUGCGGCGGCGGCGACUGCGGCGUGGGGCUUCGGGUUAGGGUUUCCUCAGAGUCCUCUCGCUUAUCUUUUCUACUGCAUUCGUCUUUGGAGAUGCAAGGGGUAUAUGCGCAAAAACGUCCACCUCCUUAAUCCCAGCCGCUUGACCUCCAUCGGACGGAUCUCGGUCAAUGUAUUGUUGCUGGAUUACGAAAUACGUUACCUCGUGGGGGCCUUAAUGAAAACUUCUCACCGAAAAGUCAAUCUGAGCCGUUUGUUUCGGAUCGAACGCAGUGCAUCGUUCUCGGAAAACCCCCUUACAAGAUUCGUAUGGACCGAGUUUCUGCCCCUUGUGAGAGGCCUCGAUCCCCUUCCCAGCGCCGGCACGGCGAGACCGAGUUGUUGGCGUGCGAGCAGGGGACGGCGGCGCAACUUCGGUCCAGUUUUUUUUCAGUAUGUGCGUCAUUGUGGAGCGGCGCUGAUUGGUCACAAUAAAAGAAGUUUGCAGUCGAGUGAGCAGCACGACGACAUGGAAGAAGUCUAGCGAUUCAAUUUUCCAGCGGAGAAUUCUACACUCGCCAAGAUACAAAGUUUCAAUCUUUCAAUGAGAAAGCACAGUUUUUUUUUCCGAGGCUGAAUGCACCUGAUGUCAACAAUGGUUUACAUGAAUUCAAUCACAAAUUAGCUAAACAAAUAGAAUGAGCUGCAACUGGAAGCAGUUGGUGAAGUAGAUGAAGCGAGCUGCACUGCGUACAAUUAAACUGAUGGCGGGUUGGAGUCCUUGGGUUUUUCAUCAGAGGAUGCUCGGCUCUCCGAGGCGGACUGCCGGAGCCCCUCGAUCAUCCUGAUCACUUCCUCCAUGGUCGGGCGCCGGUCGGGAGACCUUGCCGUGCACGCCAUUGCUAUCUGGAGCAUCUGGACCAGCUCCUCUUCGAUGUUCUGCUGCUUCAUCAGCUCGACAUCGAACACCUCGGCCGUCCACUCCUCCCGGACCACGGAGUGCACCCAUCUUGGGAGGUCAACAACAUCGUCGUUCCCUUGGGUCUGAAGCGGGGCUUUCCCUGUGAGCAUUUCCAUGAGGAGGACGCCAAAGCUGUAGACAUCGGACUUCUGGGUGAUCUUGCGGUUCUCGACUGUCUCUGGAGCGCGGUAACCAACCACAACACGAGAUGCGUUGACCGGCACACUCAUCAGAGUGCUAAGGCCAUAGUCUGAAACAGAAGGAUUGUGAUCUUGGUCUACGAGGACAUUAGUUGACUUGACAUUGCCAUGGGUGAGCUUUGCGCCACCUUCUGCAUGUAUGUGAGCAAUUCCAUAUGCUGUUCCAAGGAUGAUCUUCACCCUGGAGUUCCAAUCUAAUGGUGUCUUCUCAGUAACACCCCUGAUACCUGUUGAGCAACCAAUUCAGUAAGAACUACUAUCAACAAAACAGACUGAUGCCUCAGUUAUCUGUAUGUAACAGCAAGAAAAAUGCAGCUUCAGCAUUCAGGGAAGUGGGUGAAUUACAUAUGAAGGCAAGCCUUCUUUCCAACUAUAUUGGUCAAUGACAUUAACUUUUAAAUUUAGAUGUCAGGUUGAGAGAACUAUUAUAUAACAUGGCAUCGAUAUAGCAAGUUAUGUAAUUCCAAGCUAAGCAUGCUGUCAGGGGCUGACACUUUUAGGAAUGCUGGCCUCUAGUUAUGUUAUGAAAGUGGGUUUAAAAAAUCAAUUGCAAAAAAUAACACAUCUGCAGGAAAUAUGUAUGUAGCAGUAAAAAGCAUACCAUGCAACAUGGCUGAAACACUGCCAGUGUCAAUAUAAUCGUAGACAAUAAGCUUCUCAUCUUUGGAAUAGUAGUACGCACGAAGUGGGACUAGGUUGGCAUGUUUGCCCAACCUCCCAAUGAGCUCCAUCUGCUGUUCAAACUCUCUUUUCCCUGCCACAACAUCUUUUAAUCUUUUGACUACCACGACAGUACCAUCCUCAAGUAUAGCUUUGUAAGCAGUUCCAUAACUUCCCUUGCCAAGGACUUCUGCAGAAGCUCUCAGUAGAUCCUCCAAGUCAAAGCUAUAGGUGCAGCCUUCCAAGAAAACCAACUUGUUCUUCUCAGCAAUUUGGACACCACUACUGAAUUCUUGCUUCGGCUUCUCACUCCUGGUGACUGUACCCUUACCUUUGGAUUCCACAUCACUCUCAUCCUUGCCUUUCCUCUUUGAAAAGCACACAACCAACACAACCACAACUAGCAUCAGCAAUGCAAAUCCACCAACAGCAACUGCAAUUAUGACACCUGUGCCUAGUUUCUUCUCAUGAUGUGGCAAAGGUGGAGAUCGUGGCGAUGAAGAUGACUUGGGUGAGGGUGUUGGUGAAGGAACCGAGCAUUCAGGUAGAGGUAGCCCGCACAGUCCAGGAUUCCCUGAGAACGAACCAUUUGGAAAUGUUUGGAGCGAACGAGGAAUUGGGCCUUCCAGCUCAUUGUUGCUCAGAUUUAAUAGUUUCAGACUUGGAAGCUUGAGAUCAGGGAUGGAUCCAGAGAAAGAAUUAUCUUGUAAAUUUAGCGCAGUUAACUGAGUCAGCUUUUGUAAACUUGCAAGAACUUCCCCUGUGAAGGAAUUGUAGGAGAGGUCUAUUACACUGAGGCUAGGACUGAAGGAAGAAGGCAUCGGUCCUGAAAAUUUGUUGUGCUGUAGGUAUAUGGAACGUAAAGAAGGAAGUGAGGCCACAUCAGGUGGAAGACUUCCCGUUAAACGAUUAGACCGCAGGCUCAAUACUUGGAGGGAGUCGAGCCUUCCAAGAGUGUUUGGAGGAAUUGCUCCGAUGAGACCAGCAGCUGGUACCCUCAAUUCAAAAACGUGGGACUGAUCUGCCGAGCAUUUUACACCAUGCCAUGAACAAGAUGAUGUAUUUUUAUCCCAGUUGAGCUUGUUGCCAUGAGAGACUGCAGAGAUAAAGUCCAGAAGCGCUUGCUUCUCGUAGGCCAAGUCCGCGACAACCAAGGGGUUGAACAAUGAUAACAGCAACUGUAUUGAGAGCAGAAUACGGAAAGAGCUCCUAAGAUUGAGGUAACCCAUAUGAUGAUCUCCAAAUGGGCAAAUUAAUUGAGCAGCAUAUUAAUUGUAUAUGAGGCAGUAAACAACCCUGUUCAAUCAAAAUAGCGCACGAUCAGUGAUAAAUGUUAGCAUACUGACACUAGAAUUUCAAAAGCACCCAUGUUUUCUUUAUCAGAAGAUAACCAAACACAUAUUGGUAAUCAUUAGAUAGAUAUGUAGAUUGUCAAAUGUCUGUGUAGUGCAUGACCCGGAGUGAACAAAUAUGUCUGCUUAUGCAAAAGCGAUGCACGCCUGUGCACCGCCGUGGGGCAGCACAAUAGACUUUCCUUUCCAGCAAGUGACUCAUGACACUGACCAAGACACUUUGAAAAAGAAGAAGUUCCCAUCAAUGUCUAAUGAUUACAGAGUUCCCAUUCCAACCAAUGGAUUUUCCUUUUUCACUGGGUUAUUAUAGAAUGCGUGCAAAGUGAGAACUCUGUAUGCAGUAUGCACUAUUCUGAGCCAUCGAGAAAUUUUAUGCUAAGCAGGCUUGAUUUUAGCAUCUCCCCAGGUGCGCCACAGCUGAGCAUUUUACUGGGCUGUGUGGCAACAUUGAGAACAAGAGGAUCCAAUUAGCAGUUAAUAAACACAAGAGACAUGAAACCCAUCUUCAAAGAAUGGAAGCAUGGAACCCAAUAAAAUAAAAAGGCAAUAAAAAACAUGGCCUCUAAAAUCAUGGACAGAAAGCAAAUAAAGGGAAAGAAGGGAGAAAAAGUGAAAUCAUCCGGUCAGCAUACUAAAGUCCAAAGCAGCAACAAAGUAAGCAGAAAAGAGGGAACAAGAACAAAGCUGAACACAUCAUAGCGUACAUAAAGAUGAGCAUGUCACAUCAUGUAUUUAAUUUUAUUACUUGUUCACAUGAAAGACUAAUGUAAGCUUAGCAUAGACAGGCAUAGACUCAGGUUGUUAGGCAAUGCAUUCUUACACUGGUGUGCAACAAGUCCAACCAAACGUAUCAUCAUGCAGCAAGCCAGCAACUUUAUGUGCUAUUAGGACUAACAUGGAGCAGCCUUACUAUCUCAGAAAAGAUUCUUCAACUAAGGCAGUGAUCGCAUAAAAAGGCCAAUGUCAUCAAAGAAGCCAUUAAAAAAAGGUGAACCAAAGGCAAAGUUUAAGCUAAGCUAAUCUAACCUAAUUUUUCAAAUGGGAACUCAGGAAGCUGCCAUUGUCAGGAAGACGUGUAUGUGGGAAACUACUGCACAUGCCAAUGUGCGCGGAGAUUUUACCACAUUGUUUACGGAUUACAAGAUCUAGAUUCUAGCACAGCACAGAGUUACUUCACCUCCACUUAAAGAGACCCUGAGAUGAAACAAUUCCUUAAUCGGGCUAGCAAAUGACCAGCGAGCGUUGCUCGAAAGUCCAAGCUCAACACCUAGUAGUUGUUUGCAAGGAUCCACACAUUUUUCAAGUGGUGGCUUCUAACUCCAAGAGCGAAAACCAAGAUUGACCGCAGGCGAUUCGAGGGUAUGAGAUUAAAUUUAUAGCUCAAGUGGAACUUGUUUUAUUUUGAGUCAAUUCUAAGCAAUAGGAGGAACAUGCUACAGGAAAUUAAUAAUACCAUAGCAGCUACUGUUUACUGAUGGUAGUUACUACUAGAUCCACCACACGAGGAUACAAGAAAGAGAACUCAAACGAAGAUCUAACCUUUGUCCAUUUCAAGCUAACUAAAAUGACAAGACUGAAAGGAAGGAAUGAAGUUAGCGAAAUAUUAUGGAUGUAUGUUACUAGCACGGCAGUAUGUUGUUUGGCGCCAAACGCAGCAUUACUGCAGAAGUAUAUUCCAGUUUAGCUGAAACGCCGGAAACAGCAAGCACGUCGGUGCUACCAAAUUCGCCUCAGAUGGCUAUGAACCAGUGUAACUGAGGGCAAAACACCGCUGAUGCAAACAUGAAGUGGGGAACCACCCACCCCAGCUCAGCUAAAAUCGUGAGAUUGCCUAGAGCGGAACUGUGUAGAUUUCGGCUGUACUGAGGAAAAGAAAUGUCGAAUUACAAAUAGAAACUACACGAGAGAGAAAAAAUGGUACGGUUCCAUUAAUUAAUUGGGAAUUUGGCAUGCCAGGUACAACUGAAGCUCGAAAUGUAAGGGCAUAAUCCAGAGCGUUCGCUUUUGACUCCUCUGUUUUACUAACAAAACACACUACAAAGACGGACUGGAUGUGCCAUUCAAAAAAAAAGAUGGACUGGAUGUGAACAGUCGAAAACCAACACAUGUAAAAACCCCUGAUUUCCCCUAAAAUCUAACCAAAAAAGGUGCUUACACUCCCUCCGCCUAUCGAAAGAAAAUUGACUAAAAGACGAGAAAAAUUUCAGAGGGGGAACGCCUAGCUAAGCUAAUGCGCAUCCCGCAGAGUCAGUGACCUAAAAGGAUUAGCACACCAAAAGCAACCAAAAUCUCGAAAUCGAAGCUUAGAACAGGGUGUAAAUGCAGAGACGGAGUAGCAGCAGCAGCAGCGAGGAGGAGACGGAUUACCUCCGCGGCAGACUGCCGGCACGGCACAGCCCAGCACGCCGGGAGCACAAGGAAUGCGUGCGGGCUUAGGGCUCGGCCGUGGAGCACCUCUGUCGGCAGCAAGAGGAUUCGCGUCUUGAUGUCGCUGCUUCUGCUGAGUGCUGCGGCUUUGAGAUGGAGGGAAGGCCGCAGGAGAGAGAUGGAAUGGCUCCCAGGCGAGGACAGGAAGAGAGAGAGAGGGACGGGAAAAAGGAGGAGAGAGAGCGAGGUGCGCCCGCAUUUAUGAGGAGGAAGGGAACGGGGGCAGCGACCGAGUAGCAGCGCGACGGUGCCUCUCUGACUGACAAGGCUGCCUGAAACGUUGUGGAGGAAGCACCAGACCAGUGUGACAGUGAGCUACAACUGUACACUCCACUAGUGACACUCCACUACCCUAACUGCCAACUGUGAAAAUUCAACUAGUGACCUUUUUAGAUGACAUGUAAACGCAAAAAGGUGUAAACGCAAAAUAGGAGGUGUAAAAGUUUACAGAUUUUUGCGUUUACGGCUCCCACCCCGUAAACGCAAAAAAACCGUAAACGUAAAAUUUUUGAAGGAAUCUUGCCAAUUUGAAGUACUAAAUGAAGUCUAUUUACAAAACUUUUUGCAUGGAUGGGCUGUAAAUUGCGAGACGAAUCUAAUGAGCCUACUUAAUCCAUGUGUUGCAACAGUGAUGCUACAGUAACCAUCCGCUAAUUAUUGCUUAAUCAUGGAUUAAUUAGCAUCAUUAGAUUCGUCUCGCGAUUUACAACUCAUCCGUGCAAAAAGUUUUGUAAAUAGACUUCAUUUAGUACUUCAAAUUGGCAAGAUUCCGUCGCAAAAAAUUUUUUGCGUUUACAGGGCCCGUAUGCCAAAAAAAAUGCACCGGUCCGUUUAGAUGCGUAAAGACAAAAACGCCGUUUUUGCAAAAAAAAAUUUGCCAUUAUGGCCUGAUCUAAACAGGCCCCAGGCUCCUAACCAACUAGUCGUGCCUGCUACAGUAGCUUCUAGCAGUAGCUCUUGUUUCUACGUCGCAGUCACUUGUACAAUUUUCAGAGAGCAAACCAAACAUAUAUAUGCUGCAGAAUCAAAAGAGAUACUGCUCUUGCUGGAGUUACAGUCCACUCAGCAAACCCCAGUAAUCGCAGAUGCAUGUUCGUGCGACGUACGCGCACAACCACCCUAGUAAUGAGCGGCCCGUCCCUGUCGAUCGCAAGGCCUUGUCUCCAGCUAUUACACCAAGCUUUUCAUGGGUGUAGAGUAGAGAGGAGAAGGGAUCGGUGCCUUGGACCUGAAGAAUGGAAUCCAUCGAUCCACCGGCCGACAAUCAUACAGGGUACUCUGAGGUUGUACGUGGUAGGAUCGUACGGGCUCUGGUCCAUGCAUUGAGAUUUAGACGUUGCUUGCUGUUGCAAUCACAAGGUUAUUAUUCCAGUGCAGGAUCUGAGUUCGUUUGCAAGAAAGAUAUUUUACCGCAGCUGAGCGGGCGGGGCAGGCAGACUGAUUGGUCCUACAUUCAGUCAUGGAUAUUAUUACUCGCAACUCCCUCAAGGUAACUUAACUUAUAUGGAGGUCAACGAGAAGCGUGUUUAAAAUUGAUGCUCAUCGUCGUGGUGUGUUUGGUGAUAUAGCACUCACCUAACACUCUGCAUGCUGCAUGCUCAUUGCUAUGACACGACAGCGGCACACGUGUUGCCGAAUUGUCAGCAUCCCUCGCUCGCAGUCUCCCGGCUAUUGCCUUUCUCUCUUCAUCCCUCUCUCACUCAGCGAGGUCAAUGUGCAACUGCAAGCGGAUGAUCCGACUCCUCCGAAAGAGAAAUCGCCUGGAGGACUAGCAGAGCAGCUGGCUUUUUAGGUGAGACGUACGUUCUGACGAAAGCUCCCCGAGCUAGCUGUUCAACCAAUUUCCAUGCUCUGCCGUGGCUUGGCCCAUUACUGUGAGGCUACGCUACUUUGUUGCCAGGUGGCGAUUGGUUUCGUGGAGCCAUCACGCAUCGCUGUGUGUAUAUCGACCUGACCUCCUUGUUCAAAGGCCACGCCCGAGGAGGAUCAGAAUAGCCCUGAGCUGUGUUCAUUUGACCGAGAAAUAAUGCACUACUCGGCGUGCUCGAUCUGUCGCGAGUACCAUACAUACUACGGAAGGGAAGGGAACAUUGCCGCGUCUCGUGUAAUCCCUUGCGUCCAGGUACGGAGAAACGUUGGGCCGCCACGCCCUAGGUCUACACAAGUAGUCCUCCUCCUCCUCCUCCACUCCUGCACACGGCCCAACCUGACAAAACGCCAGGGCCUAGCUUACUCCCCAGUAGCCCAAUCACGAAAGCCCAUAUCCACCAAUAAUGCCUUUUCCUCCGCUCUCGGCUGGCUCUUCUUCCUCCCUCCCUCGUGCUCAUUUUGUUUGGGCGGGCGGCCAUCCUCAGCUUCAGCUAGCUGGUCCUUGGGACAUCCGAACCUAGCACCUAGGCACCCUGUGCACGUGCGUCCGUAUCCUGGCGGCAGCAGUACUGUGCAGUGCCCCCCUUCCUUUCUGAAAAAUUCCUCCGUUCGCCGCAGAGAUGUGCUAGCUGACUCGGUCCUAUGUCGUGUCGUCCCCUCCGCCGCCGCCCCUACGGCCCUAGCAUCCCUUUUGGGAUUCGAUCGGGUGACAGCAUGCACCGCGCCGCGCGUGCGUAUCUUCUUCUUCGUGGAGCAAUUGGCGGCUAGAAUGCCGAGUGGCCGACGCUGUUCGUGUUUCAAUUUAAUUAUUAUUCUCUGCCGGCCGGCCGUUUGACCUCAGCACAGGGUGGCCGUUUGUCCUCGGCUGCUUACUGGCUCCCAGCAAGGCGAAUGAUGACUCUCUGGUAUGCUUCUUUCUGGUGGCAAGGCAUGCUUCUUUCGGCGGUCGUCAAAUUACUAUGUUUAGUACGACGACGUACUCGAUCGUGCCACUGACAUGGCGUCGUCGUCACAGUUCGGAAAUAAUGUUCGCCCGCAGAACGAAUCGAAUGAGGAAGCAGCUGGUCAAGAGCCGCACCAACCCAGACAGCGGCGGCGCAUGCCGGCCACUCGAGGUGGAUUCACUGCACCUAGCUAAGCCAAAAGCCAACGCCAUCAGCUAGCUCAUAUAGCACGUACGUCGUAGCUACCCCUGCUUUUGCACCACCGGACACUGUCGGCUAAGGUUUGCUGCCUUGUCGACCAAUGCUAUAAAAUCCAUGCAUCGCUUGCCGCUGCUUUGCGCUCACCAUCAGGGAGGAGCAUCAGCCCACCGGUGGCGCGCGCGCGCACUCCUUUUAUUUUUUUAGUAGAUUAACUACUUGAUCAGCAAUCGUAUCAGUUAGUUCCAGCAAUAAGCUCUCGGUCCGAUCCAAUGGCGCGCUCGGUGUCGGCUCACCGCGCGCUCGUCGCCUUCUUCCUGCCGUGGCUGCUGCACUGUGCGCGGCUGGAGGCUGCUGCCGAGGGGACGCCGCCGUGGUUCUGGCCGUGGCCGCCGGUGGGCGGGGGCGACGACCCCUACUGCCUCAGCUGGCGCGUGAUGGUGGAGGCCAACAACGCCAAGGGGUGGCGCACGGUGCCGGCGCCCUGCGUCGGCUACGUCCGGGGCUACAUGGCCUGGGGCCAGUACUACCGGGACGUGGGCAGCGUCGCGGACCAGGCCGCCGCCUACGCCGCCCAGAUCAGCGCGCCCGCCGCCGACGGCCUCGACGCCUGGGUGUUGGACGUCGACGACACCUGCCUGUCCAACCAGCCAUACUACCAGGCCAAGCAGUUCGGGUACCGAUCGAGUCUGAGCUCAAGCGCCAUGCAUGCCAUGGAUCGAUGUGCAUGUCUGAAUGUCUGACGAUGAUCCUGCACCGCAGGGCGUAUGAUCCGGUGGCGUUCAAGAUGUGGGCGAGCAGAGGGGUCUGCCCGGGGAUACCUGCCAUGCAGUGGCUGUUCCAGACGCUGAAAGGCAGAGGGUUCAGAGUCUUCCUUGUGACGGGGAGGGAUGAGGAGACCCUGGGCUCCAGCACCGCCGCCAAUCUGGCCGCGGCAGGAUUCUCGGGCUACGACCGGCUCAUCAUGAGGUUGGUGCUCCGUUCCCUAUUCUGUUCUCCGCUUCUCUUUGGUGAUGAGCAUCCGGGGUCCUACCUCCAACGAGUUGACACAGCUGACCUGACCGCGUGGUUUUUUCAGGAAAAAAGAAAGAUACGAGUAGUUGGGCCGCUUCAAAAGUAAUACAUAGUUGGGCCGGCCCACCAAAAGCCCGAACUAUUUUUCAGGCUAUAACGACCAUGUCCAGCCCAAUACACACCUGCACGGCACAUCCGGUAUUUCUUACGGCAAAAUAAAAUAACCAAUCCAACGCGCGUGUAGGCCAAUCAACCACGCACCUCGCACGGGCAGGCAUGAACCACUACGGCUUUCUCUGAUUAGCGUGCCUGAUGCAUGCUGGUUGCAGGGGCACGGGGUACCGCGGGCAGACCUCGGUGGCGUUCAAGUCGGCGGUGCGGCGGCAGCUUGCGGCGGAGGGUUACCGGCUCCGCGGCAACGUGGGCGACCAGUGGAGCGACCUGCAGGGGGGCUGCGUCGGCGACCGCGUCUUCAAAGUGCCCAACCCCAUGUACUUCGUCCCAUGACCCCUGUAGGGGCUGUAGCUGCAAUUAUAUUGGCAGUUCAGGAUUCAGACUUGCAGAGAGCCGGGUGCGUUUGCAGAUCGUAUACAUGCAGACAAAAAACUGGCAGCUUCCGGUACAGUGUGGUACGUCGUCGUCAGGAAAGGCGUAUGGGUGGUUUAUUUAAUUACCGGUGGCGAGCGAGCUGGCGGCCGACGAACAUGUGUACGUGCACGUUGCCAUCCGCUAGCCAUGGCACCAUGGGCAACUCAACUCGUGCCAAGGACUUGAUUUGAUCGGCUGAUGGAAGGGAAAGCGGCUAGCCGUUCCAUGAUUCACCCAUCAUCCCUUCAAUUCCUUCUCUUUCCCCCCACACGCACCUAGUAUAUCUAUCGGUCUCCGGCGGUUGCCGUCUGCCCGCACCCUGACAGACACAGAUCGGUCUCCAUUCCUUGCGCAUCCAUCCAUCCACCACGUACUACACACGUUACUGCAGCGCCCGUUACGCGCAAGGAUCGGAGAUGGAGGUGGAGGCGUCGAUGGCGGCGGCGGGCUUGUGCUGCGUGGGGGCGUGCGCCCUGGCGCUGUACCUGUACCACGUCCUGUGGGUGGCGCCGGAGCGGGUGCGCGCCGCGCUGCGGGGGCAGGGCAUCGCCGGGCCGCGCCCCUCCUUCCCCUACGGCAACCGCGACGAGAUGAGGCGGGCCGCGGCCGAGGCCGAGCGUGCAGCGGCGCCGGCUCAUCGCGGCGGCAUCGUGCACGACUACCGCCCGGCCUUGUUCCCCCACUACGAGAGGUGGAGGAAGGAGUACGGUACGCAUCGCCCAUCGCUACCUACCUACUAUGCACCUCGCUCGUCAUUGCAUUAGUCUCCCCCAUGCAUGUCGUACUCCAGUUAAUUAUUAGGGUUGAUCUCGGCUGCUUAAUGCCAUCGAGUGAGCCGGUUACAAGGAAAGUAGUGACGGUCGUUUGCCUAGGGGUUUCGGUCGAUCUUGCGUGCCGCCUUCGUAGAUUUGAUUCAUUCUGGACAAGUAGCAGUGACUAGGAUGCAUGGCGACAUUAUCGAUUCAAAUGAAGAACUCGCAUGCCUUUUCAAGAAACAGCAAGAAGAAGAAGACGACGACGACGACUUGCUGCCUGUGUAGGAAAUAGGAAUAGCAAAACCUGAUCUCCAUGAACGUACACAACCGAGAAACGAAAGCAGUAAUCCAACAGCGGUGGGACUAUUCCUGCUAUGCUAGCUAGAGAGAGAGGUAGGUCCUCCAUAUGCUUGGCGCGAAUGACUAUCUGGUCCAAAAAGCAGCGAAACAAUAAUUGAGCAGCCAGCGUGCGCCUCCCUAAAACAAGAUAUUCAACUGCUAAUGCGCGAACAGCAUCGCUAGGCCGAUCAAUUAAAUUAGUCCGAUUCCCAUGCAUAUAUCCCCUCUUGAUCUCUUCUACCACCUGAUUGGAGUAGCGUUUGAACGGUGGGUGCCUGCAAGAAGGCCAAAAAUAAAUAAUUGUUUGGCUUUCUCUGCCACCAACAGAGAAUCUGAUCUCUGAUCGUUCUUUUCGGUGAGAGAUCCAAGUAUAAUUAAUUGUAUGGAGCAGAUGAUAGGAUAACGUGCUGAGCUGUUCAUUCCCUCGGUUAUAGGUCGGACAAAGCUUCUGGGAUCUGACAGAUACAUCGCCAAGCAAGUGCGUGCGGUGCGGCUGGCUCUUUUCAGGAUUCCGUUGAAACGAGGCUUCCCGGCGCAAAAACGAAAAAAAACCGUAAACGCAAAAAUGCUAAAGGAAUCUUGCUAAUUUGAAGUACUAAAUGAAGUCUAUUUACAAAAAUUUUGCAUGGAUGGGCUGUAAAUCGCGAGACGAAUCUAAUGAGCCUACUUAAUCCAUGUUUGCAACAGUGAUGUGAUGCUACAGUAACCAUCCGCUAAUUAUUGCUUAAUCAUGGAUUAAUUAGCAUCAUUAGAUUCGUCUCGCGAUUUGCAACCCAUCCAUGCAAAAAAUUUUAUAAAUAGACUUCAUUUAGUACUUUAAGUUGAUAAGAUUUCUUUGAAAAAAUUUUUACGUUUACCCACUGCCGAUCUAAACAGGCCCUGAAUCAAUGAUGAUAGAUAAAUAAAUACAGUACCCUGCGCAAGAGACCGUCAUCGAUCGUUGACGAUGACUCGAGAGGCUUCACUCACCCAGGCGAACAGCUCCUCCUACUGUUCCAGUGCCUGCCGGUGACCCAGCUGCAGGGGAUCGAACACCCGUGGCUGCACGACACACGAACGCGGCUGCCUGUCAGAAUCUGUCCCGAUCAUUGCCGGUUCACCUGACCAGAACGAUUUGAUCUCAUCCACUCGGUGAUCCACAAGCGACAAGGCGCUGCUGCCUUUGGUCCUCGUCGCCAUCCCGCGGAAAGUGGGGCAGGGAUUGCAGCGCCGCGCGGCGCCUUUGAAUUGAUCUUCCUCGCUCUGCUCUGCUCUCCUUUUGUCGCAUUGCCAAAAGUUUCGGUACUUGCGGAUGCCCACACGCAUCAAAUCAAGCAUGCGUCCAUCAGUCAUCAGUGGGGGAGGAUCGCUCGGCACUUGUGGUGGCUGGCCUGCACCUGCUGCACUGCCAUGCCUUUCCCCAAUCCGCCACGCGACCAAAUUCCGGCAUCUGUCUCUCCGUCAGCACAGUCACAUCAAACGCACAACACGCCAAGAACCAAUCCAGCCCUGUCAUAGAUUCAUACUAGCGAUCAUGAUCUAGCCAAGUGUAGGUUAAUUUCGUGAAUAAUUUAAUUUAAUUGUUCGAUCGAUCGAUCUGACGAUAGAUGAUUGCUGCAGGCCCGAUCUUCACCUACUCGAUCGGGAACAUGGUGUUCCUGCACGCCAGCCGGGCGGACGUGGUCCGGGACAUCGGCCUCUGCGUCUCGCAGUUGGACCUCGGCAAGAGCUCCUACAUGAAGGUCACGCACCGCCCGCUCUUCGGCGACGGCAUCCUCAAGUCCAGCGGCGAGGCCUGGGCCUACCAGCGGAGGCUCAUCGCGCCCGAGUUCUUCCCCGACAAGGUCAGGGGCAUGGUGGACCUCAUGGUCGGCUCGGCGACGGCACUGGUGGGGGCGUGGGAGGAUAGGAUCAGCAAUAAUGGAGGCGGCGGCGGCUGCUGCUGCUUGGAGCUCAGGAUCGACGACGACAUCAGGGCCUACUCCGCCGACGUGAUCUCCAGGACGUGCUUCGGGAGCAGCUACGUCAAAGGGAAGGAGAUCUUUGCGAUGACCAGGGAGCUGCAGAAGACGGUGUCCAAGCCCAACCUCCUGGCCGAGAUGAGCGGCCUCAGUUUCCUCCCCACGAGGACCAACCGGGCGGCGUGGAGGCUCAACCGGCAGGUGCGCAGGCUGGUACUGGACGUCGUGAAGGAGAGCGCGGACGACGACAAGAACCUGCUGAACGCCAUGCUCCGCAGCGCGGCGAGCUCCGGCGGCGGCGGCACCGUGGCGGCCGAGGACUUCAUCGUGGACAACUGCAAGAACAUCUACUUCGCCGGGUACGAGACCACGGCGGUGACCGCCGCCUGGUGCAUGAUGCUCCUGGCGCUGCACCCGGAGUGGCAGGGCCGGGUGCGCGACGAGGUGCGGCAGGCGUGCGCCGGCGCGCCGGACUUCACGUCCCUGCAGAAGAUGAAGAAGGUCGGUCGGAGUACACGUCAGCUAAUUCACAGCAGCAUGCACGCACCGUACAUGGUGGGAGCCCCCGUCUGACCGUGACCGUGUGUGUUUGACCGCCGAUGGGUCUUGCAGCUGGCGAUGGUGAUCCAGGAGACGCUGCGGCUGUACCCGGCCGGCUCGGUGGUGUCGCGGCAGGCGCUCCGCGGCGUCACCCUCGGCGGCGUGCGCGUGCCGGCAGGCGUGAACAUCUACGUGCCGGUCUCGACGGUGCACCUGGACCCGGCGCUCUGGGGCGCCGACGCGCGGGAGUUCGAUCCGGAGCGCUUCGGGGGCGCGCGGGCGCAGCCGCCGCCGCACGCGUACCUCCCCUUCGGCGCCGGCGCGCGCACCUGCCUCGGGCAGGGCUUCGCGAUGGCCGAGCUCAAGGUCCUGCUGGCGCUCGUGCUCUCCAGGUUUGAGCUGAGCCUGUCACCGGCCUACGUGCACUCGCCGGCGCUCAGGCUCAUCGUGGAGCCGGAGCACGGCGUGCGGCUCGUGCUCAGGAGCAUCGAGCCUGGGUUCUAGCUGGUGAUGCCGCUGGUCGGCUCGACGCGGUAUGUAUGAUGGGCUGGGCCUCGCUCGUUUCUUCAACUUUGGGCCUUAUUGUUGAAACGGAAGUGUCGGCCCAAGUAUUCACACUGCACUGUGUACUCCUGUACAAAUAUGGAUUGGUGUCAGAGCGUGCUAGUAGGAGAUUUUCAGUGUCUCCCAUUCAGUCUUAGAUCACAAUCAACGUGGCGUACGCAAGCGCAGGCCACAAAGCUGCCCUAGCUGGGCAUGUCCAGGCUGAUAGCAGCAUAUUCUGGCUUCUGAAUCAGCACCUUUUGUUUUGUCCAGUGUGCUACCUGUAAGUACGGACAGGCAUAAAUGUUGCGGAUGAGCCGGGAUUAGGUGAAGGCCGUGCGGUUGUCAUGGGAUGUUCUGGAGUCUAGAUAGUACAAAGCAUGCUUAUUCCGACAGCGACGUGAGCUAAACAAUCAAGGCUCAUCACCUGCAUGCAGACGCCAUGCUGCUAAUACGAAGCUAGCUGCAAUAAUUUUCUUAUUGGUCUUGUGAUAUAUAGAUGAUUCUGCAGACAAGUCGGGAUUUAAUUCGCCAACAAGUACCCCGAAGGACUACUUAAUCCGUCGCUAUAUCCAUCCAAGCAGGAAGGCACAAAGUUUGGCGUAGCUCGAGAGAAUAAGAGCUAAAGCCUAAAAAGCAAGGCAAUGCCUUCGUUCUCUCCUGAAAUUCUGAAGAGAAAUGCUUUGCUUUGAUACCGAAACGUCGAGACCUGAACUAAACUUGGAGCUCAGCGUAACGCAACCUCAUGCUGAAGGCUGGCCAGGUCGCCUAACUAAAUACUACGUCCAUUAUGCCACAGACGUCCCCGUUUCAAAGCAUUUUAUAAGAUCUGAUCUGAAAAAAGGUCUCCUAUCCGACAGGCGACAGGCGACCGGCCAAACUGAACAGAGGCAGGGCGACGACCUCGAGGAAAAGGCGACGCAGCAAUUACAGACUCGUCCCGGUUGCUGUUCGGCGGAGAUUCCUCAAGGACAGCGACACUUGUGCUGCGAUCGAAAUUGCCUGGUGUCCGGCAAUGAUGAAAGCGACACUUUUGCUCGCAACCGAGGCAUCUCCGCGUGCAGAUGUCGUGAACACUUACUGCUGCUGCUGCUGGAUGCAGAUAUGUGGCAUGACCUGGAUGUGCUGUGAUCAUAGCAGAGAGAUGCCAUGACCAUGAUUGAAAGACGCAUCCUUACCUAACGGCUAGCGGCCGCAGUAGAAACUCGGAGAGACUCAGGGUCGAUUGUACUGGCGCGUCGCCUCCCAUGUCGACUAUCCGCGUGCAUGGAAACGGAAUAAUGCAUGGUUUGGUAGGCGAUCAAUUUCCCGGCACGGACGAGAGAGACGAUCGAUCAGACGAAAGACGAGCAAGCCGCUGUGCUGCUCGCCAAUUUGCUCCGCGUCCCCCGGACGCGCUCGUCCCAUCGCCAAAGAGAGAGACAAGGUACGGCGGCAUGCAUGCAAUCCCUGCCCUGCUAUAAACAGCCAGAGCUCUCCUCGCGCUCUCCGCGUCGCGCGUCGUCCCGAAAUUAAUUAAACCAGUGAUUCUAUCUGACACACCCCCAAAAGAAAAAUCGCCCAUGGCGGACACGAACCAGAGCGUGGUGGCGGUGAAGCCGACGCUGGCCAAGGGCACGCCGUCGGCGUCGUUCCGGCUCCGCAACGGCAGCCUCAACGCGGUGCGCCUGCGCCGCGUCUUCGACCUCUUCGACCGCAACGGCGACGGCGAGAUCACCGUGGACGAGCUGGCGCAGGCGCUGGACGCGCUGGGCCUGGACGCCGACCGCGCCAGCCUCGCCGCCACCGUCGGCGCCUACGUGCCCGAGGGCGCCGCGGGGCUGCGCUUCGGGGACUUCGACGCGCUCCACCGCGCGCUCGGCGACGCCUUCUUCGGCGCGCUCGCGGACCAGGACGACGCCGCGGACGGCGGUAAGGGCGCGGACGACGAGGAGGAGAUGCGGGAGGCGUUCAAGGUGUUCGACGUCGACGGCGACGGGUUCAUCUCGGCCGCGGAGCUGCAGGAGGUGCUCAAGAAGCUGGGAGUCCCCGAGGCCAGCAGCAUGGCAAACGUCAAGGAGAUGAUCUGCAACGUCGACCGCGACCGCGACGGCCGCGUCGACUUCAGCGAGUUCAAGGGCAUGAUGCAGGGGAUCACCGUCUGGGGCGCCUGAUCGAUGAUCGAUCAAGUUAAGUACAUGCAUGUUCAUCCAUCAACGAUCGCCAUCACCCAGGGCAGGUACCCGAAGCCGGACGGACAGGGUAGGUUUCCUAAGUAAGUACGUUUUCAGGGUCGUCCUUAAUCAUUUCUUGGAGACAGUACGUACGAAUCUUAUCUACUGUAGUUGGCUGCGCGCGCGUCAGAAUGCACCGCAGGCAGGGCCGGAUCUUGUGCGCCGCCCCUGAUGCGAUGCGCUUCUAAUUGUAAUUGGCUAGUAGUUGUGUGCUGGUGCUCCGAUGCCCUUCGCUGAUCUAGUGGUGAUGCGAGUGUCCUCUCCUCCAUAACCAUGCCAUCAUGACAUUGCUAAGUUUCAGUCUCUGACACUGCCAGUGAUAAAAAUGUAUCAAACUCGCCCUAUCCAAAUUAGUGUCUUGGGUUGACGCUCCAUGGCAUGGGCUGCUGAAUUUUCUGCCUGCCAAAUUCAUGGCCGAUACGAAAUGAAUUACCGCGCAAAUGCAGUUCAAUGUUGCACUGUUCAGAUUAAGAACAUUAACGCUCCAUGGCAUGGGCUCCUUUCUUUUGUUUGAAGGAGAAACGGCC
RNAcentral lists this long non-coding RNA (53940 nucleotides) under Panicum hallii. RNAcentral's name for it is "long non-coding RNA (PHAL_LNC000233)". Lineage: Eukaryota; Viridiplantae; Streptophyta; Magnoliopsida; Poales; Poaceae. The record is from RNAcentral.